Molecule: long non-coding RNA, 62379 nt
Filed under: Coffea arabica (coffee)
Lineage: Eukaryota; Viridiplantae; Streptophyta; Magnoliopsida; Gentianales; Rubiaceae
Description: long non-coding RNA (CARA_LNC000516)
Source: RNAcentral
AUGCAUUUAUUAUAAUCCCAUAAGUCAUAUAAAACAUAAUAAAAGCAAAUAAACACAUAAAUUACAUAUAGUAUAUAGCACAUAAGUAUGAUAUCUAGAUGCAAAGAUUCUAAAAAAGGGAGUAAACACAUAAGCACACAAGCGUGCAAACAAAUAAAAGCGAAUAAAGACCUAACUAUUACAUUUGGGGGCUCUAACUACAAUCUAAAAGGGGAGAGAAUGAAAUGAAAUGAAAUAAUAAUCUAACUAUUACAAUUUGGCAUUUAAUCGCCUUUCAAAUAAUAAAAAAUUAAAUUAAAAUAAAUAGACAAAAUUAAAACAAAUAAAGUGAAUAAAUAACUAGAUGAGAUAAAAAAAACAUUCAAAAGAGCAUGCCAUUACGCACAAAAAGUCACAUAGGAGCACCUAGGAUCAACUAAAAUCAAAAUAAUGGAGUAGAGUGUACCUCCCUUGAAUUUGUGAGCUAAUGAAAUGAAAUUUCCCUUAUUUAGCUUCUAAUCACAAAGAAAAUGAUUAAGGUAUCGCUUUAAUUAACAAAUAAUCAUAAGAGAUGAAAAUAAACAUGAAAUUGAACAAUUAAAGCAUUUAAAUGAAAGUAAACAACCCAUAUUCAAGAAAUUAAAACAAGUAAGGACCUAAUUGGAAUAAUUAUAGAAGUUUGAGGGGUCAAAUUAUUAUUAUUUCAAAUAUUAAGGGUCUAAAUUAAAAUAAAAUAAAAUUAAGGGCUUAAGAUGAAGCCUACCAAAACAAAAUGCUAACAUUCAUAAAAAAGUCAAAAUCCUCUCAUCAAACCCCAAAACAAAAAUACUACCCAAAUUUUAAUUAUUUUACUACUCCUUUCGUCCCUUUCAUUUGGUUAUACUUUCCAUUUUGGGAUGUCCCAAAACAAUUGUUAUGUUAGAAAAGUCAAAGCAACUUUUACACUUUUUUUCCAAUAUAACCCUUCUUUUUAAUCAUACAUUCAAAUUUAAAAUUUGAAUUUGAGGGGUAAAAUUGGAAAGAGAAGAACAAACAUCACAAUCAAAUCACUAUUUUUAAAAAGUUGGAUUCCCCAAACAUAACCAAAUGAAUGGGACGGAUGGAGUAUAAUUCAAAUAAAAACUAUAAAUCUAUCAAAAAUUAUUAAACCUCAAAUUGCAUCCUAAAAUUCAUAAAUAGUCUGCCCAAAAAUCACAUUAGAGCAUAUCAAAGAAAAAUAGCAUUUUAAAAGGACAAAAUUGAUUAAUUUUUUUAAUUUUUUGGGUCAUAGUAGAAUUAAGUCAAAAUAUGGGGGUCAAAAUGCAAUUUCGGCAACUUUUCAUGCAAAAGCUUUAAAGAAGCUAUUCUUCUUCGCUCGUUUUUUCCUUCUGAAAUUUUGCAGCCUAUUCAACUGAGGUAUCUUAUUCAAUCUCAAACCAAGCCAGCAAACUCAUUAACCCAACCCAUUAAACUUCAAAACACUUCAAAACAGUUUGAUUAACACAACACAAAAUGCAGGAGACAAGUCAUUGAAGAUCAAACGAAGAACAAAAAUGGAAAAACAUGCAAUCAACCGAGAACAAAACCAGUUUUCUGGUGAAUCCAAGAUGGGUUUGUCAAAAGCUAACACCUUUCAGCCAAACCAUUGAACUAUCAAGUGUCAAACCGUCCUAAUCCUUUGACAAUUUCAAGUCAUCAAAAGCCACUUUCUCCAAAAACAUUAGGAACCAUGCGAAAAGAAAACAAAAUCCAAGAAACCCAUUUAUGAAAGAGAAAGCUCACGCAAAUGGCCCCAAGAUCUCAUGAAAAGUGUUAAAUCAACUGAUAAGAGAAGUUAUUGUUACCCAUAAAUGAUUGAGACGCCGAAUCUAUGCGAGAAAAACCAAAUGGAAUUCACCAAAAGUUCCGUCGCAGGCUUCCCAGGGUUGAUGAUCUCGUGAUUUGGAGCUCUAAUUUGAAGGGGUUAACGGUGUUUUUUGGAGAAAAAUUCAAGAGAAAAGCUGUUUCUCUACACCUUUAUAUAAUGUAGAAAUAAAGAACUUGCUUAAAUGUUAAAAUCGAAGCAAGAAUAUGGAUCCAAAGAGGCCUGCUGCAUCAACCCGGUACCAAAAUUUUCCAGCAAUUUUUCUGCUCUCGUUUCUCUCUUUUUCCUCUCAGAUUUCUCUCUCUUUUGCUGUUUUUUCUUUCUUCAGCCGCCUCUCCCCUUUCUUGCUCUCCCCGGAACCUCCUUUUUCCCUCCUCGCUUUUUCUCUUCUCCCUUUCUUUUUUCUCCUUUCCCUUCUUUUUCUUCCCAGCCGAAACCCUUUUUUAUUCCUCUUUCUCUUGCCCGAAGCUCCUCCUUUCUUCCUCUCCAGAUUCCCUCCUCUUACUCGAAGCCUCUGGUUUCUCCUCUCUGGGUCUGCUUCUCCCUUUCUUUUUUCUUUUCUUUCUUUGCUCGAAGUUCUCCUCCCAAUCUCUUUCACUCCCUCCCUUUCCUUGCUUCCUCUCUUGAUCCUCAGCCGUCACCUCCUCUCCACCUCUCCCUCUCUCGGUCUUUCUCUCCCUUAGUUUUUUCCUUUUUCUCUCGGCCUUGCCUGCAGCUCCUCUCCCUCUUUUCUUUUUUUUUUUUCUUCUUGUUUGUCUGUUCCGUCUUUUUUUUUUUCUCCUCCAGCCAACCCUCCUAGUUUUUUCCUUGCUCUUUCCCGUAGCCUUUUUCCCUUGUUUCUUUCUCUUUUUUUUUUUUUCAGUUUUUUCUCCAAAUUUCUCUCAAAUCAACAAGUGUCCUGCCACUUAGCUUAGCAUGUGUUGUGGUGUAAAAAAUAUGGACAUUUGUCUAAUGCCUAUCCAUCCCACUUAACUAGUUUGCAUGGCCUCCACCUAUUUUCUUUUUAUUUUGUUAUUUUUUGUUUUUCAAAACAAGUUUAGGGUAACAAAAAAAGAAGUUAAAUGCAUCACUAAUUUUCAUUUUAUUGUCAAGCACUUGAAUUUAAAAAUAUUAAAACAAAUUUUUUAUGAGAAUUUUCUUUUUAUUUCAGAAAUUUAAUGCAAAAAUGUCUUAAAAAGAAAAAUGAUGAAGCUAAUUUACUAAAAUAAGCAAAAAAUAAACACUAACUAUCAUUUUGCAAACUUAAUCAACUAAAAUAAAAUAAAAUAAAAAUAAGAAUAAAUAAUAAAAUUAAAUUUAAAAUUAAAUAAAAUAAAAUUAAAAUUUUGGUGUCUACAAUGUGAACGAUUCUGCACCACCCGGUCUACAAGUGGGAACAUACAUCGAAUCUAUGCAAAAUUUUGCCUAUGAAUUGUAAUUUUUUGCCUGGUGUGAGGAACUUGGAACGUAAUAUAUAACAUUGGAUCCAGGGGACGGAAAAUUAAAUAAGGGAAUGAAAUUUAUUGUAAUAAUGUUUGUUGCACAUUUUUGACCAAUUUCUAGCCUCCACAUAUGAGAAGGCAUGUCAGAACCUAUUGUAGAGCGACGUGGAAUUUGUCAUCGUGCCAAAUCAAGGGCUAAUCAUUCGGUUUGUCAGUUCAACACAGGAUUGUUCAUCAAAGCAAAACAUUUAUUUGGAUAGUGAAUUAUUUGUCAAAAAUUAUUUACUUGCAUAACCACAUUUUUAUCUCACAUAUAUCAUUUAAAAAAGUGUUACUAUAUUACUUUAAAAAAUUUAUCCCAAUUAAUCUAUUAUCCAAAUACAAUAUAAUUUAUUUUAGGGUCCACUAUGUUCCUUCUCAUUUCUAUUCCGACAACAGCACAACUAAUACAAACGAUCCAUAGACUCCUUAAACGCUUUCUAAUCUCUUUAUCACUCCCAUUACAUGUAGUCUUUUCAUUUUCUCCUGGUGCUACGGUAUCUAUAUCACACAUUUUUCUUUUUAGACUAAUACCUCAGUGAUUGUUUUCACUACUAAAUGAAGUAGCUAAAAAUAAAUGAGAUAAAAUGUCUAGUCUAAUAAUACUUUUGCUUAAAAAAAUGUUAUUAUGCAUAUCUUUAACAAAUUCAUUGAUAAUUUAUUAAAUUAGUAUGUAGUAAAGAUAAUAACAAAGCGAAUAUAUCAAACAGAGACAUACCAAAAUUUAAGUGAUUUGGUCAAACGAUCUACAUCUAAAAGCACUAACUACUGAAAGAGAGCACAAAAAUCUAGAAAAGUGUUCCUAAGCCUGAAAGUACUAAAUGCUGAAAAUGCAAGAUAGUUCAAAAAAAAAGGGACUUAAAGAUCCAAAUGCUUAAAUAGCCUACUAACUCACUCUUUUAGUUUGAUAUUUAAUUUAAAAACCUUUCUUAAUUUGUGAACUAAAGUUUCCAAAAUCUCUCGAGUUGGUGCCUUUGACACAUUUCAACUCAAAUAAACCCACUAUAUUUAUAACCACUCAAAGAAGAGAUCUUUUGAUAAAACUCCCAAUAUAGAAUACAAAGGCAAACGCAACAACAAGAUAUAACUUAACAAGGGUUACAAUAAAAUUAUUUUUAGUAAAAAAACAAUUUUAUUGUAACUCUUGUUAAGCUGUGUCUUUUAACAUCACGUACUAAUUUAAUAAGUUACCAAUAGAUUUGUUCAGACAUGUAUGAGAGCACAUUAAAAAAUAUAUAUAUUAAAACAUGCAUUUCAACUCUUCUAUCUUUAGCUACUUUUUAUUUGUUUCACCUUUAUUACACAAAUUUUUUAUUUUAUCAUUUACAAAAUUUGAAAAGAAAGAUUAUUUUUUUUAGCAUCUACAAUGCAAAAGUAGGCCAUAAAGGAAUAACCAAAGUGAUUAAGGUUAGCACGCGCACUAUAAAACAUGAAAUAACAAACGAUGACUUAUGAGUAACUAUUUAAAAUCCAAAGAGCAAAUUGCGUGAAAUAUCACUAAACUAUUGCGAGGUGUCGGUUCUGAUCACUAAACUUUUUUAUUAGUAAAAAAUGUCACUAAACUAGUAAAUCUGUACCGUUUUAGUCAUUCCGUGUAUUUAUGCCUUUAGGAGAGAAGGAAAGUCACUUUUUGAGGGGCAAUUUUGUCCGCACAAUCUUUUCCUUGAAGCUUUUACAUAAUCAAUGGUUCUGUAUCCGGCAAAGGCAUAAAGGAGCUGGCUGAUCUAAAUGGUAGCACCGUCAAGACGAUGAUGACAUUUGGUGAGGCAGUGAAGUACAAAAGCUCCCUGGAUGCAUUUGCUCAGAUCUUGAAGAAUGAGGGUGCAAGGUCUCUCUUCAAGGAAGCUGGUGCAAACAUCUUACGUGCUGUUAUUGGUGUUGGUGUGCUUGCUGGCUAUGACAAACUGCAAAUGCUUGUCUUUGGAAAGAAGUAUGGAUCUGGCGGUGCUUAAGAGUUGGUUUUUUGUCCUCAAGAUUUCAAAGAUUAGGCAAUGAGAAAAUCUCCCGUCUCAGAGAAGUUUCAACCUAUCCAACAAAUCAGAGAUUCCAAAAUAGUUGGUAAAUCCAUCUCAGAUUUGGGCACAAAAUCACAAGAGUCUGAUGAGUUAAAAGGGAGAAGGAGCUACCUAUAUUGUUCAGGGGUCGUUUAUGAAGACAAACUUCAACCAAAAAACUGAACUGACAAAUUUGCCCCUAAAAAAUCAAGUUUGCAACUCAUGUGAUCCAUCCCCACCAGCACCGUCGCGAUUGCUUCACUCAGUACCGCGACAUGAAAGCCAUGGACCCAAUUGAACUGUUAGGGAUACUUCCAACUUGCAGCUUCGGGAACUUCUGUUUCAAGAAGUAUUUGGCAAUUGUUCAUCCCAAAAUAGAGGAGUCGUUAUUCGGGGACUUGGAGCAGCACCGCCUAGUUUAGGCCGGAAGCCACCCCAGGAGUCAAUUUUAUGGGGAGUUUUUGGGCCUAGUUAAGGCAGUUUGGCUGCUACAUUUUCUGGCAUUUUUUAUGGACCCACCAACUAGUCAUUUUGAGGCUACUAAGGGAGCUGAUUUCCAUCCGCAGUAUAUGGACAGUGUGGUGAGGGUUCUUGGUGGUGGACGAAUGGGUGGUGGUGUGCCUCAGGUGGUGGGCUUCCCGGUGAGCCCUGGGUUUAAACUUGGAAAUGGGUCACUAAUUAAAGCCAGGGUAUACCUCGUUCCCAAGAACGGGUACUGAAUUUGUACUACUAUUUAGCCUAGUUAAAACUUAGAAGACAUGGACUAGUGCCUCUGUGUCCGAAUGGCAUCGGGAUUGUGCCGUUUGUUGUUGUUCUCUGAUGAGCUUGGAUUGAAGGUCGCAGCUGGACUUUGGUCGGGAUCAAAAAUAGGAGGGAAGGGGGGGUUCCAGUAGGAGGGGAGAAAAGAGAAGGCAGGGUGUAGAGGGAAGAGAGAGGAGGGGAGGGAAGGAAGAGGGAGGAGGAGGAAGAAGAAAGAAAAAGGGAGAGGAAGGAGAGCGGAGGCGGAAGUGAUGGCGGUGGGUGGCAAUGUAGGUGAUGGGUGGUUGUGGGUGAAGAAGAACGAGGGUAUAAAUUUUUUAACAGUUGUGUAGAUGAAAUUGCCUCUCAAAAAGUGACAUUUCGUCUCUCUUAACGGCAUAAAUACACGGAAUGACUAAAACGUUAUAGAUUUAUUAGUUCAUUGAUAUUUUUGGCUAAUAAAAAAGUUUAGUGAUCAGAACCAACACCUCGCAAUAGUUUAGUGACAUUUCGCGCAAUUUGCUCAAAUCCAAAUUCUAGUAAGGUAUUUUUUGCUUUUUUUUCCCCUCCUAGUUUUCUUGCAUUAAUUUAUUUUGCUUGUUUUUCCAUAAUAUAAAGAAUUUUUCAAAAAGUUGCAUUUGUGAAAUGCAUACUUUCCAAAAGCUGCAUUUAGGAAAUGCAACAUUUCGUGGACUUUUUUUUUGCUCCACUUUAUUUGUUUUAUUCUACAAUAGAAACAUUGCAUUUGCGAAAUACAAGUUUUCGAGAAGCAUUGCAUUUUGCUAUUAUGUUUUUCACCCUUUGGGAAGAAGUUUGGCAAGUGACAUUGUUUGGGAUUUUUUUUUCUUUUGAAAACUAGCACUAAUUGGGAAAUUACUCCUGUAUUUGCCUUUUCCCAUCUCCGGACCAAAUAAUUUACAAACGGGAAAAUGCACUUUUCAUCUUCAAUAUUUAAGGUGUUAAUUAAUUUCGUCCCUAAAGUUUCAUGUGAAAUACAUUUGAUCCUCAUAGUUUUAUAAUUUUGACCAAUUUUGUCCCUAAAAUUUAUGUAGAACACAUUUCAUCCUCAUAGUUUUAUAAGAUCUACCAAUUGAGAAUAAUUAAAUGGUUGUUUAACAAUUUGAACAUAAUAUCAUCACAUGUCCUGUUCGUAAUUGUAUUAUUAAUACUUAAUUCAAUUAUUGAUUAAAUUACAGAAAUAACAAGAAAUAUUUUUGGAUAGGAAACGAUCACUUUUUUUAAUGUGAUAUGAUGUAUUUGAGAUAAAGCAAAUAGAUUGAAAGAUAAAUAGAUAAUUAAAAAACUUGUAUAUGAUGCAACAAAACAAAAUUUGAACAGUGAGGUUGUUUUUUUUCCUAAUGGGUAUGCCAUGGUCAAGUGACGACAUUUCAUUCAAAUUGUUUCACAAUCCAUCAAUUGUCCUCAAUCAGCCAAAUUUACGAAACUAUGAAGAUGAAAUGUGUUUGAGUGAACUUUAAGGAUGAAAUUAGUCAAAAUUAUAAAAUUACAAGGAUGCAAUGUGUUUUGCAUGAAACUUUAGGAACAAAAUUGGUUGACACCUUAAACAUUAGGGAUAAAAAGUGCAUUUUUUCCAUUUACAAACCGAUCCUUAAUGGUUUUGGACUCACCACUUAUAAAGUUGGGAAAUUUAACAAAUUGGUCCCUAAUAUUUUCACAAAAAACUUUUUUAGUCUCUAAUAUUUAAAAUCAGUCAGAAUAGCCCCUAACAUAUAAAUUAUGAGCCAAUUUGGUCCUAAUUCUCGCAUUUGCUCAUUUUUCCUGUUAAAAAUAACACACCUGUCUCACAUGGAUAUAAUUUUAAGAGCAAAAUCGGAAAUAUUCGUUAAUCCAUAGUUAUGCAUCCCUCAAACUCUUGCACCGCUUCUUCAACUGGUUCUCACUUCUCAGUCUACUGCUACUAUGACAUCACAGAAAUCGACGGCGUCAACACCAAUGAACUCUACAAUGCCGUCCAGCUGUACCUCAGCAGAUCCGCUUCCAUCUCCGGCAACCGCCUGAGCCUCACUCGCUGGCUCAACUCCACCUCAGGCUAUCCAACAAUGACCGCCUCAUGGACAACUACAAGGGCGUGACGGUUCUGUGGGAACACAGUCACGCAGAGACAAGCCCAGACAUUUUCUUGGCGGCCGUUGCCCGAAGAAAAGCGGGGCUUCACUUUGCGCGUGAAGAAGAAGGAUAAGUCGGUUAUUUUGGGAUCUUACCUAGUUUUUGUCACGGAAAAAGCUAGCGAAAUACGUCGGAAUAAUCAAGAUCGGUUGCUUUACACCAAUUCACGUGGAGGGUCACUUGAUUCCCGAGCCCAUCCUUGGGAGUCCAUACCCUUUAAGCAUCCUAGCACUUUUGACACGCUAGCUAUGGAUCCGAUCAAAAAGGCCGAAAUCAUGGCUGAUCUUAAAGAUUUUGCUAAUGGGGAAGCAUUUUAUCAGAGGAUUGGCCGGGCUUGGAAGAGGGGAUAUUUGUUGGACGGACCACCUGGGACGAGUAAGUCUAGCAUGAUUGCUGCAAUGGCUAAUUUCUUGGGGUAUGACAUUUACAAUCUUGAGUUGACUGAGGCGCAUACCAAUUCGGAGCUGAGGAAAUUGUUGAUGAAAACCAGUUCAAAAUCCAUUAUUGUGACUGAAGAUAUUGAUUGUUCAAUUAAUUUGACUAAUAGGAAGAAGAGCAGAGGUGCUGCUAAUUCCGACGGACAAGUGGGUGGUCCGAUUUUAUCCUUAAAAUAUGUCCAUGUGAGAGAGGUGUGCAAUUUUUAGUCGGAAAAAUAAGCAAAUACGAGCACUGGAAUCAAACUGACUCAUAAUUUAUAUGUUAGAGACUAUUUUGAUUGAUUUUAAAUAUUAAAAACUGAAUUUUUUUUUUUUUUAUAAAAAUAUUAAGGAUCAAUUUGACAAAUUUCCCUGCAAAGUUUACACUUCCACUCCACUGGCCCCACGUUGUUGUCCUCAGAUUUUCAUUCUUUUAUUCCCAUCAAUGCCAGGGAGAGUUCCGCUGGCACAGAAGCUAUCGGACCACGUGUUUUCGUAUUUGGAUGCCUGCACGCCCUUGUCCUCAAUUUCACAACUCAUUUGCAGAGUUAAUCUUUUUUUUUUAUUAUUAUUAUUUCACAACUAGCAUGCCAAAUAAUACAACUGCAUUUAAGUUUAGAACUGAAAUAUAUAAUCAUUCACUCAAACUUAGACAAAUAUAUAUUAUUGUCAUACAAACCCAAGUCCAACAAUGCAAAUAAAAUUUAUUUUCUAACAAGCACAGAACACUUUGCUUGCUUUCAUCCAGCCUAGCUUAAUGCUGUAGCUUGUUCAAAGCUACGAUAGGAAUAUUACUGCAUGGCCAUCUUAAUUAUGGUUCUUGAGCCUGCGCAAGAUUAAAUGAGCUCCAUACUGAGGCUGCACGGUGACACGUCUAAUCGGGGCAUGGACAUAAGAUGGAGAGAGCUCUGAGGAAAGAGUACGUAGGAUUAUUGCGAUAGCCAUUUUUAUCGAGUACAGUGCAAAGUUAUUCCCAAUGCACAUCCUUGGUCCGAAGCUGAAGGGAAAAUAAGCACCCUGGAUUUUUGUUGCCUUCAUAAUCCCUUCAGAAAAUCUCUCUGGUUUGAAUUCCAAGACAUCAUCACCCCAUAAUUCAGGGUCAUAAUGGAGCAGAAUUUGUGGCAUCAUGACCUGUACUCCAGCUGGAAUCAAAUACUUCCCAAGUAGUGUAUCUUCGGAAGCCACUUUGGAGAGCUCAGCUAGUGGCGGAUAUAACCGUAGAACCUCGUUCAAGAUCAUAGAUACCUAUGUACGAGUAAUACAAUUGAGUGGCCAGAAAAUACUAUACAUCAAGAAAGAAAAUAAAAAUCAAGAAAUUUCAUAAAGUUUUUCUAAUAGGUGCCUAUUAUCUUCCCAAUCUAGCGCCCAAAACUUCUGCAUGAUUUAGGAACUUGAAGGGAGACUUACAAUUUUCAGGUGGUUUAUACCAUCAUAGUCCGGCAUUUUGUCCCCAAAAACUUGGAGAACUUCUUCUCUUGCACGGUCCUGCCACUCAGUGUGCUUACUCAAGAGGACGAGUGUCCAGAGGACCAAAGUUGAGCUGGUGUCCUGCCCUGCCCAAUAGAACAGUUUGCACACAGCAUAGAUAUCUUCAAUGCUCAAUCCUGCACUUUUUUGGUUGCCCUGCAGCUUGAUCUCAUUGAGAUUGGAUUCCAACAAUAACCCCACGAAGUCAGCACCACCAGAUUCUCCUGCCUGCAUUGCCUUCAACUUUCUAUUGAUGAUGUCUGUAAUCUUAACUCUUAAUUCUCUGUCUAAUGCUCUCAUCCUGAGAUUGCUCUUAGUUGGCAGAAACCUUCAGCAGCAAAUUCAAACACAAAACUAAUUAUCUAAUAAAUCAGAUAAUAGUUCAGUACAACAUGUGGAUCGAUUUUCUGAUUCUUGACUAUAUUCCAUUGUUUGAUUGAUUACUGCUUGUUAAUUUACUCAUUUACUUAACUUUUAUUCUUAAUUUGGUCAUUUAUUCUUAACAUUGAUUAAAUGAACUUAAUUAGUUCGCAAAUCUAGUUUAUACAUACAUAUAUAUGCGUAACAUGUGUUAGUAUAUAUGUAUGUGCAUAUUGGCAUAGCCAUAUUCCAAUAUCGGAUUAACAUGGGGCAGACUUGGACAGUUUCUCCUUCACCACCCAUUUUGUAUAGACAUGCUUUUAAGAUUAUAUACGUAAAGGCAGGUUUACUAGUUAUACUUUUCAAAUUGAUAAUAUCUACACAAAAUUCCAUUAUAGCAAAUGAGUUUCUUCAUAAGGUAAUAGGAACAUAAUAUUAAUUAAAAUUUUUUUCCUGCAUGAAGUUGAUAAUUAAUUUUUAAAAAAUAAAAUAAAAUAAAAUAUUUAAAAAAAGAGGCUCAAGGAACAAGACAUGCAUUUUGUGUACGUUAUAUUUAUAAAGAAAAAAAAAUUUUGGUUAAGGGUAAACUUUACCUCUUUCCUGGAAAGUAAACUGAGUUUACUUUUUCCCACGUAUGAUUGGCAAGUUCUUUCAGAAGCCCGACAAUCUUUUUUCCUUCUUCGCCGCCAAUCCCAAAUAGUGAUGUUGAAAUUGAAGUUGCUGAAAUCGAUUCAACUCCAGGCCACACGUCCACCUCUGCUGCACCCCCCUCAGGAAUCACACUAGUCCAUUUGUUAACCGCAUCGAUGCAGCUCGAUUGAAACAGUGGUAACAUGCUCUAUAAAACAGGGAACAGUUAAAGGGGUCAUAUCAACUACUAACCGGUGCAUGCAGAGUUGAAAAUGCGAGACAAUAAUGUUGAAAAUCACACCUUUAACUUUUCCAAAGUGAAAGCAGGGUUAGUGAUCUUUCUAUACUUGGCCCAUUCUUCACCCUCUACAGCGCCCAUUCCACCGAAAAGGAUGUGGAUGAGUGGAUCAAGAUCGUGAAAACUCUUGUGAAAUGUCGCGUGUCUAACCAAGGCGUCUUUGGCUAGUGUUGGAUCUGUCACUGUUAUCUUGGGGAAUCUUCCAAUCCACAUGAAAGAAUUUUUUCCUAAAUUUAGUUCAGCACAAAACGGUUUGCGUUAGUAUUCCAACCAAAAAAAAUAAAUAAAAAAAGAAGAAGGAGAAGAAAUCAAAAGAGAACGCGAGCAAAAUCACAAUUAAGUGGUGCUUCAGAAAUUAAAAGUUACGUACCAUGAGAUUGGACAGAGUUGUAGACUUCGGGCAUCGUGCGUUUUACGAUAUUGUCUCCAAGCUGAAUAGGCUUGGAAUGAGCUUCCCUGAGUAAUUUUGCACUUUCAUAGAGGUCUCCUCGUAAUAGCCUGUAGGGGUUCCCUUUCAAACCUUGUUCCCUAAGGCAUUUCUCAAGCUUCUUUGGUCUGAACCAGUACAAAUCAAGCAUCCCAUAAAGCCAGUAAAUGGCAUAACCUACGAAUCCCAAGAUUGCUAUUAAUUUGAACCCCAUGACUUCCAUUUUCGUUGGUUUAGUAGCAGGUUCUAUGGCUUUGUUUCUUGGGUGGGAAACGAAUAUAUAUAGGAUGACAGGCGCUGGAGUCGGGUAUUACUGGAACUUAAACCGAAAUCAUUUAAAAGCUUGCACCGUUGGUAAUAAUUGCGAAUCCCAAAAUAUUGCGAAUCCCAAAAUGCGACAACAAUUUCCCUGCCGCGGAAGUAUAUAAAAAUCUAAGAUUCUUUCACCAUUGAAUGUCAAGUGGAUUUCAAACAUUUUGACAAGAAAAUAAUGGUGAACCAUAGCAUUAAACUAGUGUAAUUUAAGAGUUUUCCUGUUUUCUAUAUUUAUUGUUGUGGUUACCAGUAAUGAUUUUGUGCUGUCAUCUUUUUGCUGGUUAUAUUGUUCUAUAGUUUUAACCUGGCUAUUACUCACCCUUAGAACUUGUUAAUUACCAUUUUAUUUUUGUAAAUCUUUCUGAUGACUGGCAGGGUCCUCUUUUCUUUUCUUUUGUUAAUCCCCUCUGUCUACUGGAUCUCCUUUCUCCUCCGCUUAGUUUCUUCUACACCUUCACUUCUGUAUUGAUCUUGAGCAGGCUGUUAUUUACCGGUCUUUCUCUGUAUUGAUUUUCACUCUGUUACAAGUGAGGACGAACGAGAAGAUUUGAUUCUGGUACCAUUUUCUAACUUGCCACUUUCUUUAUUUGGCCUUUUGUCUUGUUCAUAUAUAUGACCAAUUAUUCAUGGACAGGCUAGUGGCCCUUUGAUUUUAACAUGUGCAACGUGAUUCCUUGUGGCCAUGUCCAAUUCUGAAUUAUUGCGCAGCCAUUUCAAAACCUGCAUCAUUUGUUGGGACAUGGCCAACGUUGGGACCAAUCACAAUCUGGCAGAUAGCUAAACUGAAAAAUUUUGCACAUGCAUCACAAGAACAUUGAAAUUGCGUAUGCAUCACAGGAUCAUUAGAGAUUCCUCAGGCAUGUGAAUCAAAGGUGUGACGACCCCACCUCGCUCUAGAGUUUAACGGACCGCCUGCCUAACUCUUGUCAGGAUUCACUCACUCAAAUUAACUUCAGAGAUAAUAUUUCCAUUAAACAACCGCACAUUCAGUUUUAAGUACAAAGCCAACUAGAUUAGAAUGUAAAUUCAUUCGUUAAAAGAAACAAAAUACAAGUUUUAAAUAGCGAUAGACAAAUUUGACCACCCAAAACCAUCUAUCCCUACUCGAGGCUUCUUCCAACCUCAACUCCAGCAAGGAAAACAAAACUAAGGGAAUGAGCUCAUGCCCAGUGAGGUUUUCCAAACAAGCAACAUUCAAUAAACACUUAAACCAGUAAAAAUUAAACAAGUAAAGAACACUUCCCUGUAUAAUUACUUUCAAAAGGAUAGGGUGCUCAUUACGAGCCUUUUAUGUAACACUAUACAUUUCACAAUAUAAUAACUCAGUCAAUAUAAAAGAAUACAAGCUCCUUCUGAGGGUCAUUUCAAUCCCACUGCACACUCCGCCAAAACCACCCCCUUAUAUCCUUCAAAUCAAUAAACAAUCUCCUACAUUCAUUAUUAAGUUCAAUAAUCUCCAAACUUCAGGGUAAUACUUGAAUAUAUCGAAAUACUUACCCAAAGCUACCGUCCUACUCAACCAAACCCUUUGCUAGCUCGAAUAACCCGUUGAACAGAAGGUUUUGGGGCCCAGUUCAACCGGUGUGGUAAAGUACACAUACGGCUUAUAUUCAUACACAUUUACAAUAAUACUUGGUCAAUUGUCAACGUUCAAACUCAACUAAACCGAGUGUGAUAAAGUACACCUCCGACUUAGAAGGCGAAGGUCAAUUGAGAUACACUUUACAAUGAAUCGCUAGCAAUAUUCUAUAAUAAGCACAUUUAUCACAUAACACCACUUAAGUAAAAUAUAAGCAGUUUAGACACACAAAUUCGAAAACACUCACCUAAAAUAUUUUGAGUUCACACCUCAAUACUUGGACCCUCCGCUGAAUCUCCCUCUGCCCCUGAGAUAUUUAUAAACCUAUUAUUUUUUCCAAUUGGUGAAGUUAAGGCUCACAUGAUUAUUUUGACUAAAGUAUAUAUAUGUGUGUGUAUAUAAUCCAAGAUGUUUAAUUGUAUAUAUAUAUUUAGGAGGAGUUUCAAGGUGAUUAUAUGUCAAUAAAAGUUGGGAUUUAGGUUCUAAGAAUCAUUUAGAAUCGAGGUGUAAAGUAAGUAAGUUAAUUUUCUAGGAUUUCGUAGUUUGGGGAUCAUAUGAAGUUCCUUGAUUUUACCCUAGAUUUUUGGAUGAGAUUUAUAGGUAAAACUUUGAUAAGGUAACUUAGAGGAAUUUGAUCAGUUUUGGUUCGUUUCUACCUUAGAAAUUUAAAAUUAAAAGCUAGAAUCUAAGUACUAAGUUAGGAUUAUUCAAAACGGGUUUUAGCAAGACAUGCUUCAUGUUUUUGGUCCAAAGUUCACUAUUUCUUGGUUCAAACCUCCUAAAAUCCAACCUGCAUUUUACCAUUAUACCUAAUAGGUUGUUCUUAAUUCAAAGUUUGGUCAGAAUUUUCAGUGAAAGUUUAGAAAUUAGUUUGAAAUCCUCAACCAUUCGAAUCGACUCAAAAGGGUCUAACUAGUUGACCAAUUUAGAUUUCUUUCCUCAAAACUCAAUGUUUCUUGUUCUAGUCAGGAUAAGUGUAAAAUACAGGGCAAAAUGGAAGAUUAUAGAGUAUUCUUGACCAAUAUUUGCACAAUUUCAGUUCACAUAAUAGAAAUCAACUAAAAGAAAACACAGCCACUCUCUCGGCUACAAAUCACUAAGGACAGCCAUGUUUCUUUCCCAACUUUUCAUUCAAUCUUCUAAAUUAUCAACCAAAUCCGACAUGUACUUACUUAUAUACUGAAAUGAGGUCAUGAAAUUUCGAAAUUCAACAAACAAUAAUCACAGCUAUAUCCCUUCGGACAAGCUAACAACCAAACUUUCUUUCCUCUUGGCCAAAGUUGGAAAUUCCAGCGAGAAACCAGCCAUAAAACUCAAUUUUUACCAUAGAAACUCACAUGCAUCACCCUAACAAUAUGAGACAAGGCAUAAAGCAUGGAUUUCAGUUAUGAUCUAGCAAAAUUUCCAAGAAAAUAACCAAAGUUGCCACGUUCUUCUUUCCUCCUAGUUUGCUGUCUUGAUAUUCCAGAUUUGUUGCUGCUUUAAAGUUCAUACUUUCUUCCUUUUAACUUCUCAAAUGUCACAUGCAUGAUAAGGUUAAUGUGUUAUAAGGUGCAUUAAAUCACAAUAUGAAAGUUUGCAGCCAAAAUCCAUGGAGAAAGCUGGGAAAAUCCUUUCUCAUCCUUCUCGGCUAAAGCUGGAAAAAUUUCAGCAAAUAGAUAGUUUGGAAAACGAACUUUUCCCCAACAAAUUCUUUAUUUUUUUCACUCAAACUCAUCAUGCAUGUGGUGAUUAUUGUGGUAUGAGGUAUAUUGAACAACAAUAUGAAAUUUGCAGCCAAGAUUUGAAGAGAAAAACUCAAAAAUUCUUUCUUUCCCUCUCUCGGCCAUCUCAACAGAUUCCAGCAAGCUUUCUUCAACAAUUUCAGCCAAGAUUACCAAUGUAUUUACCAGAUUGAAAGGCAAAUACCUUGUAAGACAAGAGAUAAACUUAUAUCAUGCAUUUGCUAGUAAGUUUCUCCAAAAAUUUCAAAUAACAAGCUGCAUAUCUAGCUCUCACUUCCUCGGCCAUAACAGAAUUUUUCAGCAAAUGAGCAGUCAUUAAACAGGUUUUUCUUCAGCAAAACUCACUUUUCUUAUCUAAAACCAACAUGCAACAUACAUAAUUAAGAUUAUUGGAAGAUUGAGGGGUUUUAUUACAAGUUUUACCUCCCUUUCUGUGAAAAUCUAAGCUGGAAAAUGCGGACAGCCUAUCCUCUCCUGGCUCCUCAAGAAAACCGCACCAGGCUUCUCUUCCUUCUCCCCUCAAUUCGGCUAGUAUAAACACCAAGAGGCUACAGCUUCCUCCUCACUCUCAACUCUCUUUUGUGCGUGGGAAUAGGGUGAGAAUAUGGUUCUCUCUCUACCUCACUUUCUCUCGGUUUCAGUUGGAAGCAAAGAGGAACCAGAAAUGCUUUUCCCUCUCUCUCGGUUUAAACAAAAGAAAGACAAAUGGUUUCCUUUCGGUUUCAAGUCAAGAAGAAAAAGGAAAAGCUUGUUGGUUGCAUGGUAAUUCUACCACAUUCCUAGGGCCAUAUGGUCAUUUAACAAACUCUUGAACAUUUGGCAAAAAAAAAAAAAAACUAGACGUUUGUCAUUUGCAUGAUUUGUCUCCAAACAUUAUUCGACUAUGGCCAAAGUAAUUCUAGUAAUCACAUCAUUGCCCCAUUAAUUUGUUUUGAGUAGUAUAAUUUCUAUAAAGGUAUUCAUACAAUAAUCUAAAGUAUCCCUAUGCACUUUAAAUUAUAAAGGAGACAAGUAAACACAUAAAUCAAUCAAUGAUAUGGUAUAUGCAAUGCUUUCGAUCUUUAGAAGAAAAUGUGAAAUGUAUGAAUAAAUUUUCCGCCUCUCACAAAAGGCUAUUGCAGAAACAUUGGAAAUGCUACCAAUAUCCUCUCUGAACUUUGGGGUAUUUGAGAUGGGUUGGAAUUGGCCUGCUCACUCAAUAUAUCUCAUCUUGAAGUUGAAAUAGACUGUGUGGAUAUUAUAUCUAUGAUUAAAUCUACUGAAAAUGUUUAUCACUAUUUACAUCUAUCCAUUAUGGAUUGCACUAUUGCAGAUUCUUCUUCUCGCAGCUUCGGAAAGUGAGAAUCUCCCAUGUCUAUCGUGAGGCUAAUAGAUGUGCAUAUCAACUGGCUAAGAUGAGAAGCAAGCAGAAUAGACACUUGACCACUUUUGAUAAAUGUCCUCAGAAGUUGGUUUUGUUUAUGAUGAGAAUAUCAAAGGAGUCCGUCUCCUCGUGGUAUUCCUAUGGCUUGUAAUGGCUAGUGAAACCAUGGUUCGCCAUUGUGGGUCGCGUUGCGAUCUCGGUUGUUUCAUAUUCGUCGCGGUAUAUCGGGUGAUACGCACAUUAUAAUACAUGAAAGUUUUCAAAAAUUUUGAAAAAUUUACUAAAAUUAGAAAAUACCAAAAAAGACACAAUUUAAAAAAAUAUCUGAAUCGAUUCCAAGUUGAUUCGGAUAUAUCGGCUGAUUUCAUGUAUCACGGAUUCAAAACAACCAAUAUCGAUCGAGUCAGAACGAGUCCUCAAGGAUAUGGUAAUAUCCAUGAUUCGGGAAUCGGUAUCGUGCCGGUCCCCUCUGUUCCGAUUACGAGCCGGCCGAUACGCAUCGGUAUCGGCCAAUAUUGCGAACCAUGAGUGAAAUUGCUUUUGUUCUGUACUUUAUUAAUGCAUUCCUCUUUUUACCAAAAAAAAAAAAGAACAUAUUGGCCCUAGAAAAGAAUAAACAAAAGCCAAAAGAAGAUAAAUGAAAAGAAAAGAAAAACUCACGGUUGUGCGUGUUUCAGGUGCACCUGCGAUCAAGAUAGGUGUUUGCUAUAUUAUUCCGACUCUUCAUUUGGUUUUGAUCCCAAACUCAAAGUACCCAUGUCCACACGACACUUGUUUCUACACUUUGAAAAAUUUGUGGACAUUUUGACUUUUGUGAGGUCUAAUGUCCAAGGAAGAGGAGAAGACCUGGCUGAGAAAACUAUUAGAUGUAGAAAAGUUGUCGCAUUGGAAUCCUUAUUGCACUAGAAUCCUUUUAGCUAUGACUCGGUGGUUACUUUAGAAUUCUCCAAUCCUUAGUGAGGUAUGACUUGUAUGUUGGCUGUAUUGUAUAAUUCUUUUAUUUACUAGAAAUUUUGCCAUACCCACGUACUCGUGUCCGAGUCUUUAGAAGUAUCUCCGUAUCCUAAUUAACACUUAGACACGUACCCAAUCCAACACCCAUACCCAAGUCCAAGUAACAUAAGGUAUUUAAUUGAAUAUAUAUAAAUUAAUUUUUUCUAUACUGUCAAUGCAAAAACUUUUUUUACAUAGGUACAGAUUAAUAACAUGCCAUGACUUGUGCAACAUGAUUGAAGGUGGUACUUUUUAAUACGUGCAUCUUUUGUUUUAAAGAUCUUUUGUAAAGUAAAAAUUGAACCGAAUUGAAGCUAUGAAAGGAAAAACAAAACAACCUUCUCUGAAGAAACCGUGAAAAGGAUAAGCAAUACCAAGACCAAAAUAAAUCUCAAUAUUAUUCCAUUGAUUGCUUUGGUAUAAAAGUAUUUAUAGAGGAAACAAAUCCUAAGAAGAACAAAGAAACUACAAUGCCAUACCAAAAUAAAAUAAAUUUACUAAAGAGCAAAAAUGAUAGAAAAUUGUAAAAGCCCCUCGUUACAAUAUAUGAAAUCAUUAAAACUUCUCAUCUAAAUAUUACACAAUCCACAAUAUUUAGGGAUAAUUUCAGAAACCUCUCUUAAAAUUUUUCAUCAUGCCACUUAGCACGUUCGAGGUUACCAAAAUCUUACGUACCUCGAAGUCCUUGCUUGAGUUGACAUUUUUUGUAACAUGUCAGUCCCUCUGGGAGAAAAAACAAGAAAUAAUAUUUUGGUUCAAAUAAGACUCUUAUGUUAUUCUAUUUAUGAAGCUUAUAAUAACACUGAAAAUUGCGAUAAUUUGCACCUAAAGUUUCUAAAAUCUUACUUAUCAUGUCACUCUCAAAGGUUGCAAAUUGAUAAAAUUAUCCUUGCACUCUUAUUUAGCCUAUGCAUGCUAAUAAGGUGCUGCUUCAGUGGGUUGCUGCUGUGUAUUGCAGAGCCAGUCUCAUUUAGUCAUAAUUUUUCCAGUUACUAUCAUUUUUUUUGGAAAAUUUGCCAAAUUGGUCCCUAAUAUUUUUUUAAAAAACUUUUUUAGUCCCUAACAUUUAAAAUCAGUCAAAAUAGUCCCUAACAUAUAAAUUAUGAACUAGUUUGGUCCUAAUGCUCGUAUUUACUCAUUUUUCCGACUAAAAACAGCACACAUAUCUCACGUGGGCAUAAUUUUAAGGGCAAAAUCGAAAAACAUUCAUUAAUCCAUGGUUUUAGACUCUGAAGGAAAGAGAAUAUGCUCUUCAAAGUUCAAGCUCUCAAUGGCUAUUCUUCCAUAACUCCACCCACUCCUCCUAGAGUCAAUCUUGAGUCAUCUUUCUUGCACCUACUCCAUUAGAUGCAUUCCACCAUCACCACUAACCCAAAGCCUGAUGAUCUCAAGAGAACUAGAAAACUUGAAGCUUCAUUGAAUGUUGAAAACCAAGAAAAACAAAUCAUUCGCAACAUUUUGCAGUCCUUCACGACAUCCCAACUUGUUGAAAUCCUUCAGAAGCUGCCAUUGUCCAUCCCAGCAUUCUCCAUACCUUUCUUUCCAUCGUUGAUAACAUCCCAUCCUAUCGCAAGAUCUUUAUCAAAAGUCUAUGGUUUUGUUACUUUCAAGAAUGUUGAGUCUUUCUUUCUUGCCCUAGAAAACCUCAGCAAUAAAAUUGAUGGGUUUGUCAGCAAUAAAAUUGGUGGAGAAUGUGCCAACCAACUGAGAUGAGUUCUAAGACUUUGUUGAGCUAUUUUGAGAGGUAUGGUGAAAUUCAAGAAGGGCCUUGGGGUUUGAUAUGGGGACAGGGAAAUCAAGAGGGUUUGUUUAUCUUUUGUAUGACAAUGAGGAAAGUGCAAAAGCUGCUUUUGCUGAGAAGGUGAAAUUUCUUGAUAGUUUCCGGCUAGUUUGCAAAAUGGUGUCGAGGGAAAGGGAGAAAAGUAAUAGGAACCCAAUGGGGGUUUUGCCUGUAAAACCAUGGAUUGACAAAUGUUUUCCAAUUUUACCCUUGAAAUUAUGCCCACGUGAGAGAGGUGUGCUGUUUUUAGUCAAAAAAAUGAGCAAAUACUAGUAUUAGGACCAAAUUGGCUCAUAAUUUAUAUGUUGGGGACUAUUCUGACUGAUUUUAAAUGUUAGGGAUUAAAAAAUUUCUUUUUGAAAUGUUAGGGACCAAUUUGGCAAAUUUCCCCCUUUUUUUUUGUCCUUUGGGUUGGUUUUCGAAAAUGUUUCAACAAGAUUAUUACAACGGAAACAAAAGGGGUUAAUCCUUCAAAAUUUCAAACCCAACGUCACCGCUACUACUGGGAAAAUCAUAAGGAUUCUACUAAUGAAAAACUCAACCAACUCUCUGCAGAAAUGACUAACCUUUGCUUGCAAACUACAGGAUUGAAGUCGCCAUAUACAUACACGUUGCUUAUCAGAAUCAAGGAAAACAAAUUUUGUCCUAAGUCCACAUACCGGCAAUAAGUUAUUGGGAGAAAGCUAUGUUAGAAUUAUUUUAUAAUUUGGGUUUCUACUGAUUAUAUUUGUUUUUUGUUAAAAAAUCGGGUAAAUGAAAAUCGGUAAAAUCCACUACAGUAUGAUCUACUAUAGUUGGGGUUUAAGUCUGUCUCAACUAUCUAUUUGGUGUGAUAUGCAAGGUGUAGAGCCUAUCAUGUUAACUAAUUAUGUAUAUAUGAAUGUACUACACAACGGAAAUCUAAAUACACUUACAUCUAAUUAUUGUUGUCAAGUACAAGUUGAUCUCUUCUUGUGUCUUUGACUCUUUCAUGUCUACUCUAAAGAAACAAAAUAUGUAGAAGAAGGAAAAGGUAGAUAGAGAAUUUAGAGUAAGGAUCUUCUAACCUAUGCCUAACCCAAAACUAUAUAAUUGAUGGAAUAGCAUAAACUAUUUAUAGGCUAGGCUAGGGACCGUUACUAGCAAAUAUAAAAAUCUCUAAGGUUUCCUUCCAUCAAGGAAAUCUUACCAAAAUUCAUAACUGAAAAUAACAUUUUCUGACUAAUUGAUUGAUUUGAUUAAUUAACUAAUUGAUAUCUUAAUUGAAUAAGAUAUCAAUUAACAAAGAUAUCAAUCAAUCACUAAUAAAUGGGAGAUACUAAUUAAUUAUUGAUAAAAUGUCAAUCAAUUAAUCAGGAUAUCAAUCACUAAUCAUUAUCUAAUAGGAGAUGUUAAUUAAUUAUUGACAAAAUGUCAAUCAAUUAAUUAUGAUAUCAAUCACUUUAGAAUUAAUCAUGUGAGUCAUAAUUGUCUCAAAAGGAGGCAAGUCUUACAUUCUUCCACUUGACGCACAUGGAAUAGUUAGAUAACUUAUGAGUGACUAACAACUUAAAAAUGACCAUAAACCUUGUUUGUCACUUACCAAGUUUAACAGUUAUGUAACAGUUGCCUAAUUAGAAAAUAAUAUUAUACGAAUCAUAGCGGUUAUGUUUUCAUUGCAAACACUUCCUUCGAUGUAUUACAAUGUAUUAUACUUCCUAAUUAAGUACUUUGAAAGAACUUUAUGAAUAACUUCAUAUAAAUUAUUCAGGGUCCAACUUUAUGGAUCACAUGAUCCUUAUUUUAUACAUGAAUAACAAUGUGCACAAAAUCAUGUAAACAUAAGUAUCUCGAGUGUCUAGACAAUAACAAUAGUUUGAGAAUAAUAGCAAAAUACUAAAUGAACUAUUGAGUUCUAUAUGAGUUAUUUGAUCAUUAACAACUCAGCCGGCAACCUUAAGUUGUUUGAUCAACAAUAAUAACUCCUUUUUUUUCUUUAUUUUUUUUAGUGUAAGCAAGAGAAUUUGAAUCCGAGACCUCAUGCUUACACUCCCUCCUCCCGUACCAUCCAACCCAUCCCUCCCCCCCACUCCUUACUGUAUACUUAAUAGCUACCUUUUACUUUCGAAAUAACUAUUGAAUACCUUAUGUCGACUUACCUAUCUUGACUCUCACUUUUUCAUGUAUACAUAAUGAAAGCGUAUAGUCAAAUUGAAUAUCUAUAGUGGUCAAAAUACAAUAUUGACAAACUUUAUGCCAAACAAUAGAUGCCUGUGGUAUACCUUCAUAGCAUCUUUGGUGAAUUUAUAUUCAUUCCAAUGCAUGAUAUGAACAUUAUGCAACUGUUCACUAUUAUUACUUAAAUGUAAUCAAAGAACUCUUGCAUGAAGGUCUUAAAAUAGAUUAACUAUCUUUUACAUUCUACUUUGUGAAUAUCAAUGAUAGAAGGGUAUCACAAAUAUCAUGAUUGAUAAAAACUCUCAUAGUAUUACUCCCAAUAAUCUUAAUAUAUAUUAAUUUAUUAGAAAAAUUCUUCUUAGAUCAAAUGAAGAAUAAAUUAAUAUACUAUUGAGGAGCAACAAUUUGAUUUAAAUUGUAUUCUCUACAAAUGUAUUAUGGUGACACAUAUGUACACCUAAUUAUCAAGAAUCAUGUGAAGGACAUUUGUUUUCAUAUUUAUCUAAUGUAACUCUAAUAGUGAGUUACUAGUGCCAUAAUUACCCUAAAUAAAGUCUCUCAAAAUUUGGUAGAGAUUUUAUUGUAAUUUGUGACAUUAUUCCUGAAUAUGGAGAUUUCUCCAUUCGUACCUUAUGAAAACAUUACACAAUUUAUCCUUAAACUCUUGCAGAUAUACAAUAUAGUAACUAGAGAACUUCAAUUCUCUAUAGAGAACAUUUUGCCUCCCAUUGUCUCAAAGAUAACUCAACCAGUGGGUUCUAAGUGGAUUUAUCUUUAUGUGUUUAUUUGACAAGGAAUUUUUCAAUUGAUUGCUUAUCUAAAAUAAUUAAAUAAUUAUUUUGACAAAAGCUAUCAAUUUUCCAUAUGCAAAGGAGUCAAAAAUGAAUCCUUACCUUUUUAAAACUCCAUUCUAGAGUCAAAACACUCCUACUUCAUGUUCUUAAGAAAUUUAAUCUCCAAUUUAAUAAUUCUUGAUGUGUAAAAAAAUCUAAAUUUCUUGGAGCAAGAUAGCAUUGUUUCCUUUGUACAACUUCUUUAUGUGUAGGUUGAUUACCCUCACAAAACUGAACAUAAUAUUGUAAACUUGAUUUCCAUCCAUACCACAAUCAAAGUGGCAUUUAAACAACAUUGGAGGAAAUUGUUUAAACAUAUACUUCAGUUUCAAGGCAUUACUCACAAGAUAUAAAAAUUACCAAUAUGCUAUAUCCAAAAGUAUCUCAUUAUUUUCUUAAGGUACACCAUUUGGAUGUAACCAAUCAAGCAUUGCUUUUAUUCAUUAGCAAUGUUUCUGUCAGGAUGCAGAAGUUAAGCCAUCAUGCGGCAUCGUUUUGUAACUAAUCAAACAAAUCAGUAGGGAGAGGGAUAAGUGCAACGGUGUCGUUUCAUGAUCAAUUAGUAGCAUUCAGAAUAAGUGAAACGGUGGCGUUUCAUGCGUAUCAAUUCAGUUUAUCAAUUCAGUUAGGAUUAGUUAGAGUCGGUUAACCACACUUAUUUGUACGUAAACAUUCAACAGAAUUGGCAGGCAAGAAGAAUCGCAGAAUCUCAUUCUUUUCAUUCUUUCUCUCACUAAUUCUGAUUCUCUCUCUUUUCUACUCUGUUUUCUCUCUAGUUCUCUCUCAUCUACUCUUUCUUUCCCCAAAUUCGAGUGUAGAAUCCCUAAUGCUGAAUCCAGGAUCCUGACAUUUGGUAUCAGAGCAGGACGGAUCCUUGGAGGAAGUAGAAUUCCAUGGCAGAAAGCACCAGGUUCAAAACCUUGGAGGAACAAAUCAAGAAGCAAGAUCUCAAGCUCCAGGAAGUAAUGGAAGGAUUGCAAGCCUCGCAGGCACAACAGAUGCGAAUGAGGGAGGAAUUUCGAACGGAAUUGGAAGGGAGCAACCUGAGGAUGGAAGGUUUGGUAGCAGAAAUGAAGCAAGAACUCAGCACCUUUAUGAAGGCACUGGUGAACAAGGAGAAGGCGGCAUUAGAGGAAGACAGGUUGAGAAUCGAGCAAACACCGCUGUUGCCAACUCCACCAAUGAAUCAGAGGCUACCAGUAGGGGCUGAUAACAUCAGGAUGACCAGGAAAGAGGUAGGUAGGUUCUUAGCCCCUAAUCCUCCAAAAAUUGACUUGCCUAUGUUCAGUGGGGAGAAUCCGAGGGAAUGGAUUAGAAAAUGCAACAAGUAUUGUUUAAACUAUCAAAUUCCUGAAGAUCAUAAAAUGGAAGUUAUAGAAAUGUACUUAGAGGGAAGGGCAGAUAACUGGUUUCAAGGAGUAAAACUGGAGAAACCAGGUCUAGUAUGGGGCAACUUCGUAGAACUGUUGUACAAAAGGUUUGACAACAGAUGUGGCAGGGAUGUGGUAGAAGAAUUUAAUAAACUGCAACAAUCAGGACAGGUGGAGGAAUACCAGGAAAAGUUUGAAGAGCUCAAGACCCUUAUGAUGCUUAAGAAUCCCUAUCUAGGCGAGGAAUACUUUGUAUCUAGCUUCAUCAGUGGACUCAAGAAUGAGAUCAGGACAAUGGUGAAAAUGUUGAAACCUGCAACGUUGUCCGAAGCCCUUGAGAUGGCUGUAUUACAAGAAGAUGCGUUGAAACUCCAGGCCAGAAGCUGGAAAACUGCACCUGAAGGCAGGUUUGGAAUUUCUAGGAGUCCUUCCCAACAACAGAGCCAUAGUCCUCACUAUAAAGUUCCUUCUAUCAGUACCUUCAGGAAUACCUCUUUCAAAGGGAAGCCAAUUUCUGCUGCAGAUACUGAACCUAAAAGGCUAUCAGCUCAGGAGUUACAGUACAGGAGGAGCCAUGGACUUUGUUUCAAGUGUGGAGAAAAAUUUGGACAAGGUCAUCAGUGCAAAUCAGGUCACCUAAAUCUUUUGGUCACAGAAGAGGAAGAGGAUUCAGAGUUUGAGGAUGCAGUAGGUGAACAAGAUGAAGCCACGGGCAAUCCUGGACAGAUCAUGGAAAUGUCUCUUCAUACGCUGUCAGAUGCAUUGCAAAGGAAGACCAUAACACUGGUAGGAAAACUGGAUGGGGAGGAAAUGCUGAUACUAGUCGACACUGGAAGCUCAGACAGCUACAUCAGCAGUGAAAAGGUAAUUGCCUUUGAUGUUCCUUAUCGAAUGGUUGAACCUUUCUCUGUGGUAGUAGGUAAUGGGGCUUGUGUAACUAGUAAGGCCAUAUGUCCUAAGGUGGUAUGGGAGAUCAAUCAGUACAAAUUCUGCUAUGAUUUAAAGGUAAUGGACCUGAGUGGCUGGGAUAUCGUUUUGGGGGUGGACUGGAUGACUCGCUUUAGUCCAAUUACUUUUGAUUUUCACCAAUUAACAAUCUCUCUGCACAAUCAAGGGGAAGUAGUUCAGCUAAGGGGACAAGCUGAGAAUUGUGACUUGGAUCUUAUUAGGGGGAGUGAUCUAAGGAAUUUUAUUGAAUAUAAGAAGCAAAUGUGUCUAGCAAUGAGGAUGGGACAGAAUGGGAAAUCAGAGAAGGGGAAUAUGCCUACUGAAGUUCAAGGCAUCAUUGAUGGCUUUGCUGAUGUUUUUGAGACGCCCUCUGACCUUCCCCCUGCCAGGGAAAUAGAUCAUGAGAUACCUCUAAAACAGGGGUCUCAGGCUUUUAAAAUGAAGCCAUAUAGGUACCCUCAUUCCCAGAAGAGUGAGAUAGAACAACAGGUCACAGACAUGUUGCAGCAUGGGAUUAUCAUUCACAGCAACAGUCCCUUUGCCUCACCAGUGCUUUUGGUUAAAAAGAAGGAAGGGACAUGGCGUUUUUGUGUGGAUUACAGGCGCCUGAAUGAAAUGACCAUCAAAGAUAACUAUCCCAUUCCAAACGUAGAUGAAUUAAUCAAUGAGUUAGCAGGCUCAAGGUAUAAAUCUAAGCUGGAUCUCACUUCUGGCUACCAUCAGAUCAGAGUCAAACCCAAGGACACUUACAAAACUGCCUUCCAAACUCACUGUGGCCAUUAUGAGUUCCUGGUAAUGCCUUUCGGACUGACUAACGCACCUGCAACCUUUCAGGCCCUUAUGAAUCAAGUAUUUCAACCCUAUCUAAGGAAAUUCGUGUUGGUUUUCUUUGAUGAUAUUUUAAUAUACAGUCCCACCCUGGAAUUACACCUAGAGCAUCUGAGGAUAGUCCUGACAGUGUUGAGGGACCACAAACUGUUUGCUAAGAGAUCAAAAUGCUCAUUUGCACAACAUACUGUGGAUUACCUUGGUCACACUAUCUCUGAGAAUGUAGUGUCCAUGGAUCAGUCCAAGGUGGAGAGCAUUAUCAACUGGCCUGUCCCUAGUACAAUUAAAGAGUUGAGAGGAUUUUUGGGGUUAACUGGCUAUUACAGGAGAUUUAUCAAGCAAUAUGGCAUUAUCUGCAAACCACUUACUAUGUUGCUCAAGAAGGACAAUUUCUGUUGGAACGAGGAAGCACAGAAGGCCUUCACAUCACUGAAACAUAUUAUGAGUACUGCUCCUGUUCUCAAGCUGCCAGAUUUUCAGAAGCCUUUCACAAUCGAAACUGAUGCUAGUGGGAGUGGCAUUGGAGCUGUAUUGAUGCAAGAAGGCCAUCCCAUUGCAUUCCUGAGCAAGGCUUUGUCUCCCAGAAAUUUGGGACUGUCAGCUUAUGAGAAGGAACUGCUAGCAUUAGUGAUGGCAGUUUCCAAGUGGAGGCAUUAUUUGGUGGGAUAUCACUUUAUUAUUAAGACAGAUCAUCAAUCCCUGAAGUAUUUGUUAGAUCAAAAGCUCACUACUACAUUACAACACAAAUGGUUAGCCAAGCUGCUGGGGCUGGACUAUGAAAUUCAAUACAAGAAGGGGACAGAAAAUAAGGCAGCUGAUGCAUUGUCCAGAUUACAUGGUACGACUCAAGAACACUCUACUCAACCAGGAUCAUGUUUUGCCCUUUCAACUGUCCAACCACUGUGGAUACAAGAACUCCAGAAAAGCUAUGAGUCAGAUUCUCAAUGCCAGGACAUUAUUUCUCAGCUACUGCUGGACCCGCAAGCUCACCAACCUUUUGAGUGGGACAAGGGAUUGCUGAAGUACAAUGGCAAACUUUAUGUAGGCUCAACCAGUGGAUUGAGGGACAAGCUCAUCCAAGCACUCCAUGCAUCAGCAGUGGGGGGCCACUCGGGACAAAGGGGCUGUUGGCAGAAGUUAAAAGCUUUGUUCUAUUGGCCUACGAUGAAGAAGGAUGUUAUCAGACUUAUUCAGGCCUGUGAUACAUGUCAGAGGUACAAAUCUGAGCAUGUGCACUACCCUGGUCUAUUGCAACCAUUGCCAGUUCCUCGCAUGGCUUGGACUCAUGUGACUAUGGACUUCAUAGAGAGUCUGCCAGAGUCACAAGGCUAUGACACAGUAAUGGUGGUGAUCGACAGAUUCACCAAGGUGGGACAUUUUCUCGCAUUAGCGCAUCCAUUCUCUGCCAAGCAAGUGGCUCAACUCUUCAUGGAUCACAUAUUCAGGUUACAUGGCAUCCCAGAAUCUAUAGUAUCUGAUAGAGAUAGGAUCUUUACAAGUGUUUUCUGGCAGGAACUUUUUAAGUUACUAGGUACGGAAUUGAGUUAUAGCUCAGCCUAUCACCCUCAGUCUGAUGGGCAGACUGAACGUCUCAACCAGUGUGUCGAAGCCUACCUGAGAUGCAUGACUGGGGAAUUACCCCAUCGCUGGAACAGGUGGCUAGCACUAGCUGAAUGGUGGUACAACUCCUCCUAUCACUCCAGUCUGCAAAUGACUCCAUUCGAAGCCUUGUAUGGGUACCAGCCUAUUCCCUUGCCUUUAGGACCUCAUUUUGACACGAUCAUACCAGCUGCUUCCCACCUACUCCAGGAGAGAUUGAGGGUCUCCAGCAGCAUCAGGGAUCACCUCCUCAAGGCACAACAGAGAAUGAAGUUCUUUGCUGACCAGAAACGUACUGAACGAACUUUUGAGGUGGGUGACUGGGUUUUCCUGAAGCUUCAACCCUAUAGACAGCAGUCAGUGGCUAUCAGGAAGUGCCUCAAGCUGUCUGCAAGGUUCUAUGGCCCUUUUCAGGUGGUAGCUAAAGUAGGGGCAGUGGCUUAUCGUCUUGCAUUACCUGCACAGGCAAAGAUUCACCCCGUAUUUCACGUCUCUUUGCUUAAGAAGAAAUUGGGACCUCUGCAGCCUAUUUCAACGACACUGCCUGAGAUUGAUAUUGAUGACCAGUGUCCUCUACAACCAGAAUCCAUUUUGCAACGGAGGGUGAUCAUGCGAAAUGGACAAUCAGUGAUACAAUACCUCAUCAAAUGGUGCCAACUCGAUCAGGAUGAAGCUUCUUGGGAAGACAAAGACUUCAUACACGCGCAAUUCCCUCAGUUUCAGUCUUGAGGACAAGACUGUUAAAGGGGAGAGCAAUGUCAGGAUGCAGAAGUUAAGCCAUCAUGCGGCAUCGUUUUGUAACUAAUCAAACAAAUCAGUAGGGAGAGGGAUAAGUGCAACGGUGUCGUUUCAUGAUCAAUUAGUAGCAUUCAGAAUAAGUGAAACAGUGGCGUUUCAUGCGUAUCAAUUCAGUUUAUCAAUUCAGUUAGGAUUAGUUAGAGUCGGUUAACCACACUUAUUUGUACGUAAACAUUCAACAGAAUUGGCAGGCAAGAAGAAUCGCAGAAUCUCAUUCUUUUCAUUCUUUCUCUCACUAAUUCUGAUUCUCUCUCUUUUCUACUCUGUUUUCUCUCUAGUUCUCUCUCAUCUACUCUUUCUUUCCCCAAAUUCGAGUGUAGAAUCCCUAAUGCUGAAUCCAGGAUCCUGACAGUUUCCUAAUUAAUGAGCACAAAUAGGAUAGCCCUUUAUUUUGUGCCUUCAUUUUAUUUUCUAUCUUUCAAAUUUCAAAUUUCCUUUCUCGUUUGAACACUUGUAAAGAUAUCAAAUAUUGAUCCUUUAUCAAAUAAGAAAGGAACUUUAUAUUUGAUGAAUGGUUACCUAAUAAUGAGGUAAAUAUCUCUCACCAAUAAAAAAGGAUAGAAAAUAAUUCACAAAAUUUUAGUGUUAUAAUAAAACUCUUAUGGCAUCCAUAAUGGUUGAGUAGUCUACUUUACUUAUGCAGUCUACUUGAAAUAUUAUAGUCAAUAAAUCUAAAAUCUUUAAAGAUUUAUUAUUUAUCAACUCUUUAUUUCAUUAUAGAGAUAUAUCUCAAUCUCUUAUGCCAAAAUUUAAGGAGUUUCCCUAGUGAUAAACAUACUUGCUGCCAAUAUAAUUAUUGUGGUCAAGUGCAGUAUAUUGCUCAAUUUAAAGGAUGAUACUGAAAACUUUAGAAUUAAUAACUUCACUAUUUUUAAAAUCUACUACUGGAUAAUGAGGUUCAUAAUCAUACCCAAUAGUAAUUAAUUUGAAAAUAGAAAUUCUAACGUAAUAAGAAAAUAAUGUUUUAGAAAAACAAAUUUUCUUGAAAUGAGCAAUAAUACAUCACUUAUCUUAUGUAAGACUUGCCUCCUUUUGAGGCAAUUAUGACCCAUGAUAAGUGCAUGUUUUGUGUGUUUUUAGUGUGUUUUAUUAAUUAGUUUUGGUGUUUUUAAUUAGUUUUAUAGCUUAUGAACUAAGUUUCUAGUGAAAAUAUGCAUUUUGUGGUUUUAAGUGGUAAAAAUUGUAUUUCUAUUGAAUUUAAUUGUGAAAAUUUCAUGUUUUUAUAGGUUUAAUGAUUCAAUCAUUAAAUGGCAUGAAUUGAGAAGAUAAUUGGAUGAUUGAUGAUGGUUUGAAGUGAUAAAAAGAGAAUAUGAAGUGCAAAAGAUGAAAUGCAAUUAAAGGAGUUUUCCAGCUUUGACACCUAUUGGUAUUUCAGCUAUUUCUUGACAUUCACGUAUUGGAUUGAGGUAAUUUUUGAAUUUUUUUUAAUCGAAGAGAUAUAUAUACAUUUGGUAUGAAGAUAUCGAAGUCUAGUUUAGUGGUUUUCCUAGUCAAAAUGUCAAAAUACAGAAGUGCAAUUUUGUUGUCGAAAGCUGAAAUAGAGUUUUGACUAGUAGAGGGUAUUUUGGUCAUUUAAUGGUUCACAUAGCUCCAAAUUGGAUGAAUCUUGAGGCAUUGGAAACAUAACUCAAAGGGCUACAACUUUCGUGUUUUACACAAGAGUUAGUUCAGUCUCCAUCAUCAAGAAAAUAUAUGUGAAAGUUGGUGCAAAAACAGAGCAAACAUGAAAUCCCCCCAGAAUGAGCAAUCCUGUAAAAGAGCAAAAUAUGGUACAAUAUGCAACCUCAGGCCGCAUUUUCGAGGUUGUGAAUUCAUGUUUUGCGGUUGCAACUUGCUCUACAAUUUGUGCUUUAUUCACACAACCUUUUUGACCAACUUUUCUGCAAAGAUUCCUACUGGAAAUGAGCAGAUGAGCAUGGAAACUUUGAGAGGCAACCUUUGAGAGUUUCAAGAAGCAAUUUUGCCAACUAGAAACAACUCAUCUUAAGUUUGAAUCUCUCUAUAAAUAGAGACCUUGGAGAACACUUUUCACAACUUUGGAAGGCUAGAAAAACUCCACAAAAAUGUAGUCUUCACUAGUUUUUCUUAGUUUAUUAGUAUAGUAUAGUUAAAGCAGUUUAUCUUUCUUGAAUUUGUAGUUAGAUUUGAAUGAAGAUUUGAGGAGCAAAGAUGGAGAGGUUGAAACUCAUGUGGCAAGGGUGAUUUCUCUCCUAUCACUUUCUCUUUUGUAUUUGGUUUCAUGUUUAGCUAUAAUAUAAGUUUGGUAUUUGUUUUCAUGUUUAGUUAAAGUUUAUGCCUAGAGUUAUGGAUGAACUUUCUAUAUCUUGUUAGUAAUGUUUACUUGGUUAUUUGAUGAUAUUAUUUUGAACAAGUUAUUUAUCACUUUUGCUUUUCUAAUCAUGAUUAACCGGCCAUUAAUUAUCACAAUCUUAAGGUGUUAAGUUUGCAAUGAGAAUUGGGAUUUAACACUAAUAAAGUCAAGCUAUGACAUAUCAUAAGACUUUUAAGUACCUAAAUAUCCUCUUGGCUGCUGUUUUAUAAAACAUACAUGGCUAUUGAUCCUUGCUUGAACCAUGAUCUUAAGGUUAUGGCUUUUUCAGUACUAAUGGUGUGACAAUUCAUACUUGGUUUAUGGGCUUGCUCUCAUUAAAGAAUGCACGUUUCUCAAUUAUUGACGUUGAUCUAUUUUCAUUUUCUUUUCCCAGAGGUGGAGAUAAAUUCCACUUCCACUUAAAUUGGAGGGUUGUGCAUAUGCAGUUCCUAAUUUUAUACACUAUUCAUUGAGAAUAUGCUCCAUGCAUGUUAUAAAGUAAUUGAACAUGAAACUUCAAAUCAAUUAAAAUUGUUCAUUGGAGAAGGUUUGUGCAAAAGAAUUUGGUUAUGGUUCCCAAAUACUAUGAUCAUAUCAACCGUAGAAUUUGUAUGCAUGAUUUAAUUGUCACUGACAAAGUUUGAUUUAUGGAAUUUAUUGAGCAAGUUAUGCAAAAUGAAAGCCAAAAGAAGGAUAAAGUAAUCAAGUUUGCUUUGCAUUGAGGGAUAAAUUAAGGUUUUGGCCUCUCUCUGCGGUUAAACUUGACAUAUUCUAAAUGAUGUCUUUUAGAACUUCAUGAAUACAAGUGCAACUUAUUUAACUUUGAUCUUCUAUGAAUGACAUGAAAAAGCUUAUGUGCAUAAAGUUUUUGUCUCAGUUAAACAAUUCAUGAAUUAUAAUGAAUGGUAUAAUCAAAGUGAUCUUUAUUAUAUUUAUAGAAUUAUUUAAUAAGGAUCUUGAGAUGUUCAUGUUUUGAAAUUCUAUGAUGAUUUCGACUUGGGUUUUUAUUAAAAGUUGAAAUUGUCACUUGAGAUAUGAAUCUUUGGUGUAAUAUUUAGAGUAGCCAUCUUGGUUCAUGUAUUUAUAAAAAUACUAGGAGGAAGUGCCCGCACAUCGCGCCGGUGUUUGGUGCUUUUGGUUGUAGAGAAUUUUUCAUUGGACAAAUAAUAGUACAUUUUGGAAAGAAAUAGUCAUCAUAUAUGACAAAGUUAAUAAUAGUACAUUCUAAUUGCAACAUACACUUAUACACUUAUACACUUUGCUUUGUCAAUACUUUUAUAAUUUUACCAUUCCCAAAAUACUCUUACAGAUGUCAAUUGAAAAUCAUCUAAGAGCUGAUAUAGGUUGUUUCAAACAAAGAAAUAUCCUCUAACGGCUAGUUAUAGUAACGUGUUAAUUACACAAUGUGUUAAUAUGUCUUUGUGUUAAUUGCACAACAAAAGCCACACUUCAAUUAAAUGUGUCUAUACUACCGUUUCAAUAGUUAUACCAACACAUAAACUUAUAUGAGUUGUAUUCGAUGCAAAAAUGGUUAAUUCCAUAUUUCAGAAAUAUUCAGAUGUCUGCAUAAAUGAAAACUUUAAAUGUACCAAAAUGAGGGCAUUUCAAUAAAUAUACUUAAACACAUGUAAUCCUCAAUUGUACCAAAAGUUUUAAAAAAAUUAUACAACAUUCUAUAUUCUCAAAAAGCCCUUAUCCAUGCGGUUGAAAUUUAAAUCCCGUUUGACCACUACUCAUUUUUAUAUAGUAUAAGGAUGUCAUAUAUUUCCUUUUGUCCAUGUUUUCAAUGGCACGAUUAAAUUUUUUAGCAAAUUGGACAAAGGAUUUGGGAUUUACUUUGUGCAAACAAGUUUUAGUUUGCUAAUGUCAUAAUUAGAUUUAUUAUCUAUUGACAUAAAAUAUUGUCUCAGUUGAAUGAUUUAAUGGAUUAUUACAAUUAGUACCACCAAAGUUGCUAUUAUUUUAAUUCAUAAAAUUAUUCGACAAAGAUUCUAGGAUGUUUGUCUUCUGAAAUUUUUAUCAUAAUUACCUGCCCCAAGGGGGUAUUUAUGCAUAUUAAUUUUGGAAGGGUCAAGUGAUCACAUGGUACAUUUAUGAUUAUAUAUAUGGUAUUUAUCCCAGUUAAAUAGUAUACUAAAUUAUUAUUACUGAUACACUGAAGUGACCAUUAUCAUAAUUCAUAAAUUUAUUUAAUAAGGAUCCUGAGAUUCUUGUCUUUUAUAAUUAUAUUAUAUGAUUAUCUAACCGAAGGUGAUAAUCAUAUAUAUAUUAUUUUAAAAGGAUUGAGUGUGUGAUGAGGGAAAAUUAUGACCUCAAAAGAGGUCUAUCUACUUGAAAUACAUUAGUUCUUCUAAAGUUAUCUCACUGUUUCACUUGAGUGGGAGGUUUAUGCUAUCCAAAGAACACUCUUUAGAAAUAGAAUUUAUCUUCCACAUGAAUAUUGCCAUUAAUUGCUCACCUAUUAUUAUUGCUUCAAGUGUGUGAUAUAUCUUCGAAUAUAAUUGUUUAAAGUUUGCAAUAUUUGUGUGAACAAUUGUCAUUUUGUUGUUGUUUUGUUUGGCAAUAUUGUUUUGAGAUGGAAAAGUAAAGUUGAGUUUACUACUUAGCUUGGUUGAUCUUGCUAUUAUUGUACUUCAAGUAAAGUUUCUAAAGUCCUAUAAUUACGGUUUAACAUAGAAAAGGCCUGUUUUAGAGGAUAAAUUAAAAUAUUAAGAUUAUGCAAAAAUUUGCCCUUUGGCCUUUUUCAAAGUACCAUGAUAAUUCAAACUGUUGAUCAAUUUUGUUUGAGUUCAUUGAGCAACAAUUUUAUAAAUAUGGAAGAUCUAAAGUUAUAGUUUCAAUGAGCAUUAAUAGACAGUUUUGUCUGUUAGAUUAUUGAAGAAGAACUUUUCUUAAGACCAUGUAAAACUGCGUAUCUUCUUGACCAUUAUAAAGUACAAUUUUUGUUGUCCACCGAAUUAAAGGUUCCACUUUCUUUCAAUAAUUUGGGUUCAAUUUUAUAUUUAUAUUCAAGUGUCAAUAAGUGGUUGACAUAUAUCUACCAAUUGGGGUGAAUAAUAAAUGAGGGGAAGUUAAGAAAGCUUCCAUUGGUCCAACUCAUAAUUUUGACAUUAAAAAUACUAAAUGUCAAUUUUAGGGUGCUUCAAGUUUUAUGAGCUCAAGUUGUACAAAAAAUUAACAUAAUUUAUUUUUCUUUUAAUUGUUUUAAAUUAACCUUUGCUGCAUCACGCCCUAUUAGCGGGGAAUCUUCCAUGACUGUAUUGCACUUUGCAGCAGCUGAAGCUGUUCCAAGGGGAAUUGCAUCGCAAAUGGCAAGCGCCGCAAUUGGAAACAGUUGAUACGGCAUUGGCGAACAAUCUCGCGUCGGUGCAACCAACUAAUAAUAAAAACGACAUGGGCGUCCUCGAAUGUCUUCGCUACAGGUUCGUGAGCAUUCUCAAACUACUUAUGGUUUAUGCUUCCAACUCAAAUCCAAUUAAUUUUUUAGUUUGGAACAUACGGGGAGCUUCUCGCAUGGACUCCCUUCGUUAGCUAAAUAAGUAGAUUCGAGAAAAUUCGGUUCGUUUAGUGGUUCUUUUAGAACCAAUGUCUGACUUUAAUCAAUUGGAGGUUGUUAAGCACUUUCUUCGUUUUGAUAAGGCAGCAGGUUUUGCUCAAGAUAAAAUUUGGUGCCUAUGGGGUGAGGAGUUUGGUAUCGUGUUUAUAGAACACGCCGAACAGCUAGCCCAUGCUAGGAUCAUGUUUCGUUCUGGUUUUUCUUUUGAGUCUUCGGGAGUGUAUGCAAAGUGCACUAGAGUUGGUAGGAGACCCCUUUGGGAAGCUAUGGAGUUGUUGAACGGUGAUAUGGUGAGACCUUGGAUGGCAGUGGGAGACUUUAAUGUUGUCUCCUCUGCGGGGGAACAAGUGGGCGGUUCUUCUGUGAACAUGCGAAAUGUUGAUGAGUUUAAUACGGCUAUGUUUAAUUAUGGGUUAGCUUCAAUGGAGUUUGAGGGGCAACCUUUUACUUGGACAAAUGGUGUCAUGUGGCAAAGAUUGGAUCGGGCUCUAGUCAAUGCUCGAUGGAUGGAUUGCUAUCCUGUCACAAAGGUUAUGCACUUGGCUCGUGGACGGUCAGAUCACUCGCCUCUACUAAUUAAGUGUAAGGAUGACAGAGUAAGAUGUUCUUCUUUUCACUUCCUCAACUUUUGGAGUACUCAUCACCAGUUCAUGGGAGUGGUGGCGGAGGAUGGCAAAAACCGGUCUCCGAGAUAGGCAUGGUUGGUUUUGCUCAGAAGCAAAAGCUGGUUUGAUGGCGGUUAUGCUUUUGGAAUCAUGAUGUCUUUGGAAAUAUCUUCUCCAAGGUGAAAACAGCCGAGGAGAACUACAAGCUAAGGGAAGUGGAGUUUGAUACCAACAAAGACGAUUUGUCAAGGUUGCGGUUGAAUAAAGCCCGACCUGUUUUCUCCCGUGAACUUGUGGUGGAAUGUUCUUAUUGGCGCCAAAAGUCGAAUAUCAGAUGGUUGAAAGAAGGGGAUGCUAACACAGCGUUCUUCCAUGGGGUUGUUAGGCAAAGGAGAAAUAUGAAUUUUAUCUCGGGUCAAAGAGAAGGAUGGCUCGUGGGUAGAUUCCGUGGGGCUUAUUCAAGUGUCAGCAAUAGCUUUUAAUUCUCAACUAUUUGAAUCGGAAGGUCGACCUAGAGCCCCUCAAUUUAAUUUUGAGGUCCCCAAGGUGACGGAUGUGGAUAAUGCCAUGCUUCUUGCACUUCCUUCGUUAACGGAGUUAAAAGAGGUGGUAUUUUCAAUGGACAUCAAUAGCACGCCUGGGCUAGAUAGAUUUGGAGCUGGAUUUUAUCAGUUAUGCUGGGAUAUCAUCAAAGUGGAUCUGUUGCAAGUAAUACAUGAUUUUUUUUUUCCUGGGAGUAGAGCAACCCAAGUACUAGUCUAGUUCCCUCCUACUUCUCCUUCCAAAAAUUGAUGGAGCUCAUCAAUGGAAGGAUUUCCGUCCAAUUAGUCUAUGUAAUGUGUCUUCAAAAAUUAUCUCUAAAGUUAUAGCAAAUCGGAUUGGUUGGUUGCUCCCUUCUCUUAUUUCUUCGUGGCAAACGGGGUUUGUACCGGGUAGGGGUAUUGUUGAUAACGUGCUAUUGGCCCAAGAGUUGAUUUUGGAUUUGGACAGACAACUAAGCAUUCCAAAUGUUAUUCUCAAGCUUGACAUGAAGAAGGCUUAUGAUCAAAUGGAAUGGUCCUUUCUGAAUACUAUGUUGCGAAUGUUCGAUUUUGGAGAACAGGUAGUUAAUUUACUGUUCCGAACAUUCGCGAACUCAUGGUUUUUGGUCCUAAUCAAUGGUGAACCUUCAGGUUUUUUUAAAUCCACGAGAGGGGUUAGAAAAGGGGAUCCCCUAUUUCAAACCUUGUUUCUGUUCGUGGAGAAGUUUCUCGGCCGAGGGCUACAUCAGUUGUUCUUGGGAAAUGAGCAAUGGUUCUAUGGUUCGGCUGGGGGUAAGGUUCCCUACCUUGCUUUUGCUAACGACCCUAUCAUUUUCACUAGGUGUGCUGCAGGGUGUUUACAGGCUAUACUUGAUUUUCUGGGGAACUGUCAGUCUUAUUCGGGACAAAAAGUUAAUAUAAAUAAAAGCUCCUUUGUUUGUUCUCCUCGAGCUAGGGCUGAGCAUUUGACUUUGGUAUCUUCUAUCCUUGGUUUUUGUCAGCAGUCUUUUCUGAUGCAAUAUUUGGGGUUCCCGCUGGUGAAGGGUUAGUUGAAAUGUAUGGUGUUCGACGGUCUUAUUUCAAAAAUUUCGGCAGCCCCUCUUCCAUUGGAGUUCCAAAUUGCUCGACAUGGGAGGCAAAAAUGUCCUCAUCCGACAUGUGCUAAGUUCUCUCCCCAUGUAUUUGUUGCAAGGGGUGCAGCCUCCUAAGGCAGUAUUAAGGACGCUUGGGAGGAUUUGCAACUUUUUCUUGUGGGACAAUAGUGCGGAGUCAAAGCUGCUUCAUUAGGUUGUGUGGGACUGGUUGUGUUUUCCCGAGGAAGAAGGGGGGGUUGGGGUUCUGAUCUUUCUCAGAUGUCUCACGUGCCUUUGCAUGUAAAUUGUGGUGGCGGCUAAGAAAGCACGAGUCAAUAUGGCCCAAGUUUAUGCACCAAAAGUAUAUUAGAGGAGUUCACCCUUCGAUGGUGGUUGUCUAUCGACCCUCUGUGGGGUGGAGACGUCUCCAGGAAAUUUGACUCGUUGCUGAAAGUCAGAUUCAGUGGUCUUUAGGUAAAGGAUUGGUUGAUUUUUGGCAUGAUGCAUGAUACAUAAUGCUUCAACCAGCUUUUGGCUAAGCUAACUGGGGUUGCUGACCCCCCAUAUGCUUGUGGGAGAGUUCUAUGAUGCUCAAGGGUGGAAUGAACAGCGGCUUCGACGUUGGUUAUCUCCAUUUCUGAUUGCCUAUGUUUUCCAAAUUCCAUUCUCAAGACAUCAGGAGGAUCGCAUUGUGUGCGCUCUAGCUCCCUCUGGGGAAUUCUCCGUGUCAUCUGCCUGGGAGGAGGUUCGCCAGAGAAGGAGCCUGUCAUUGGUUGAUAGUUUUCUGUGGAACUCUGUCACCCCAAUUAAGAUCUCCUUUUUCGCCUGGCGGCUUGUGUGCCGGUAGCUUCCUAUUGAUGAGAUAAUCCAGAAGCGUUCGAUUUGGUGUCUGGAUGUUACUGUUGUAGCACAGAUGUAGAAUCAGUUCAGCACCUUUUUGUGGAGGGUCCCUUGGUGAUGACUGUAUGGGGUUUCUUUGCGCGUCAGUUUGGAAUUUAAAACCUGAGGAGCAGAGACGUCUCGUCGAUGUUAGUAGCUUGGUUCUUGUCAAGAAUUAUAAGUGAUGCGACGUAGUUUGGAGCAUUACGGCAUUGUUUUGAAGAUUACCAGGAGAAAUAAGUAGUGCGACGUAGUUGGGUAUGAGUUCAUAUUCUUGCAAGAAACGGUGCCGUUGCACUGAAAUUUAGUUAGGAAAUCUGUUAUAUUUGUUUCAGUUAGUUACAAAGUCGGUUAGCAUUGAUGAAGUGUAAAUAAUGCUAUAAAUAGCAAAAAGGUGAAGAAAGGCAGUAGUCAGAUUCAUAAUUAGAUUUUUCAAAUGAAAAUAUCUUCUCAUUCCUCUUAAUUAGAAAUCUCUUGAUUUCAUGCAAUAGGCUCAUAUUGUUGCUGACAAGUAAAAUGUCAUCAACAUACAAUAACAAAAAUAUAUACUUCCUCCCAUAGAACUUAUGAUAUAUACAAGCAUCUACUAAAUUCAUUUCAAAACUAAAUGAGAUGAUCACUUAAUGAAAUUUGAAAUACCAUUGUCGAGACGUUUGUUUGACCUCUAUAGAUGAAUUUUUUAAUUUUACAAAUCAUAUUUUUUUAGAUCUCCUAAUACAAAAUUUUCUGGUUACACCAUAUAAAUUGUCUCAUCAAUGUUACCAUUGAGAAACAUUGUCUUUACAUCCAUCUGGUGUAACUCAAGAUCAAAAUAUGCCACUAAUGCCAUGAUAAUUCUAAAAGAGUUAUUUGAAGAGAUCGGAGAGAAGGUUUCUUUAUAGUCGAUGCCUUCUUUUUGUGUAUAUCUCUUGACGACAAGAUGAGUUUUAUAUCUUGUCACAUUGCUUUUCGAAUCCCUUUUGAUUUUAAAUAUCCACUUACAACCAAUGGAUUUUUCUGACAAUGGGACAAGAUCCCAAAUAUCAUUGUCUUUCAUGAAUUUAAUCUCCUCAUUCAUGGUAUCGAUCCACUUUUGAGAAUUUAAACUUUUCAUGACUUGACGGAAGUUAAUUGGAUCAUCUUCCAUCAAUCCAGUAUCAUCCUCGUAUUCCUGGAGAAAGACAAUAUAAUCAUCUGGUAUUACACUUCUCCUUUCUCUAGUGGAUCUUCUUAAUAGCACUGAUUUUUCAAGAGGAAGAGUUUAUUUUAGGACAUUGUCUUGAUUUGUUAUGUCAUGAUCAAGAUCAGGAAUGAGAUCCUUAACAAGAUCAAUAACAACUGUGGGAAUAUUGACAUAUUCUUCUUUAAAGACAAGCUCUCUUACUAUAUUUUCUUCCCCAAACUCGAUAUCCUCAAAGAAUCAGGCAUUUUCUAUCUCAAAAAUUGAUUUAGUUGCGGGAUCAUAAAACUUGUAAUCCCUGGAUCUUUCAGAGUAUCCAAUAAAAUAACAACUAACCGUUCUUGAGUCCAGUUUCCUUUCAUUUGACCUAUAAGGUCUUGCCUCAGUUGGACAUCCCCAAAUAUGUAAAUGCUUUAACCUGGGUUUUUUUCAGGUCCAAAGUUCAUAAGAAAUUUUGAUAGUUACUUUAGUUGAAACUUUGUUAAAGUAUGUGCUGCAGUUUUAAGUGCUUCUCCUCAGAGUAACUCUGGUAAGAUAGAAUGACAUAUCAUAUUUCUUACCAUGUCUUUAAGCGUUCUAUUUCGUCUUUCAGUUACACCAUUCAUAGUGGGUGAACCUGGCAUAGUGUAUUGUGGUGCGAUACUACAUUCCUCUAGAUAUUUAGCAAAUGGUUCUGGACGUUGUUCACUUGAACCGUUAUUCUACCAUAGUACUCAUCACCACAGUCAGAUCUGACGCUUUUAAUCCUUUUGUUGAGUUGAUUCUCAACUUCAACUUUAAAAUUUUUGAACACAUCUAGUGACUGUGAUUUUUCAGAAAUGAGAUAUAUGUAGUCAUAUCUUGAAAAAUCGUCUAUGAACGUUAUAAAAUAUUGUUGACCAUUCCAAACAGAUAUAGAAAAUGGUCCAUAAAUAUCUGUUUAUAUAAGUUCUAAGACGUCUAAGGAUCUAUUGAUUUCAAAUCUCCUUUUAUUAGUUUGUUUCCCCUUUAUACAGUUAACAUAAUCAUCAAAAUCUAUAAAAUUUAAGGGAUCGAGAAUUUCAUUUGACACAAGUCUUUCCAUUCUCCGUUUGGAGAUAUAUCCCAAUCUCUUGUGUCAUAAUGCAGCUGAAUUCUCAUUGGUUAAUUUUCUCUUUACUCCUCUAGUACUCAAAUGCAGAGAUUUAUUAACUGAGGUAAUUGUAUCAAUUAAAUAUAGAUUAUCGUAGUGCAUUAAAGAAUCAGAACCAACCAAUUUUGAAUCAUGAAACAAUUCAAAUUUUUCAUUUUCAAAUGAACAAAAAUAACCAAAUUUGUCCAAAGCAGAAAUAGAAAUUAAAUUUCGUCGAAAAGACAGUAUAACAAAUAUUUCAUUAAGAUCUAAAUAAAAUCCGGUCUUUAACAAUAAUCUAAAAAUUUCUAUUGCCUAAACUUGAACUGUUUUGCCAUCGUCCACGUAGAUAUAUCUUUCAUUAUGAUUAGGCUUUCGAUAAUUCAGACAACCCUACAUAGACACACUGAUGUGAGUUGUUGCACCAGAAUCUAAUCACUAUGUGUGUCUAGAUACCGAAAUUAAAUUAAUCUCAGAACAAACCAAAUUAAGAAGCAUACCUUUCUUAGUACACCAAGUGUGAUAAUUAGUGCAAUGCUUUUUUUUAUGUCCUUCAGCUCUACAGAAGAAACAAAUAUUCUUUCCCUGAUCAUCUGAUUUCUUUUAUUGUUUCUUUUGUGGCGCUGUACCUGCAACUCUUUUUUCCUUCUUUCUCUUAAGUCCUUUGUUUUUAUUAUUAGUGGUUGACAUCAGAUGGACACUUUUUGUCUGAUCUUGCUUUAAUUUUUUCUCUUCCUCUACACAGUGUGAGAUGAGUUCAUUUAAAGACCAAAUCUCCUUUUGACAGUUAUAACUCAUUUUAAACUGACUAAAUUAUGUAGGAAGAGAUAUUAAAAUCAAAUGCACUAGUAAUUCUUCAGAGAGUGUCAAUUUAAGUGCAUUUAAUUUUGAAGGAAGAUGCGACAUUUUUAUAAUAUACUCUCUGAUAUUGCCUUUAUCACUAUAUUUUAUUGAAACUAGGCGUGUCAAGAGCGUACUAAUUUCAGUUUUUUUGUUUUUGACAAACCUUUUUUAAUGUCCUGAAGGAACUCUUUAGCGGUUACUGUUAUUUCUGACAUUGUUCCUCUGAAUGCUUUUGGAACAAUCUUUUUAAUGAUCAUCAGACACAAGCGAUUUGAUCUCUCCUACCUUUCCUUAUCUCUCUUUUCAUCAGAGGUACUCUGAUCUGUAAGAGGUGGGGGAGAGUCAUCCCUUAACGCAAGGUCGAGAUCCAUUACUUCAAGUAUUAUCAAGAGAUUUUUUUUCAGGAUUUGAAAUUUGUGUCGUUCAACAUAGGAAUAUUAUUGAUAUUGAUAGUAAUAUUUGUAAGAUCAUUUACAACUGAACAGAAAAACAUAAAAUAAUUAAAACUAUGCUCACUUAAACCAAAUAAUAAUAAAUUCAAAUAAUGAUAGCCCAUCUCAAGAUACCAAUGUUCCAUUAAUAUUUUAUUUUUGGACAAAAUAUUAACUUCCAAGUGAUAUGUUGGCGCAGUAAUAAACACUGACAAUAAUAACAUGUCAAAAAAUAAAUUUUCCUUUCGGCUAAUUUAUAAUUCACAUGUAAAAAUCGAAUAAUUCAUAUUUUAUAAUUCACAUGUAAAAAUCGAAUAAUUCAUAUUUUAUAAUUCACAUGUUUAUUACUAUAAGUGCACAUGUAACUUUAUUAAAUAUUGACCUUUCUUUGGGCCAAUCAAUAUUCAUAAAAUCACAAGUGCUCAACUGGUUAUAUUCUAAAAUAAAUUAAUUUCACAAUAGAAGUCACUUUGGUGGCAUAUUAUUUCAAUUAAUUUAUUUCAAAAAAUAUAUAAUCAUACCAAAAUUCAAAUUUAAAAUUAUACAAAUUAAACAAAAAUUUUGAUCAAAGUCAACUUUGGUUAACUCUGAUCAAAACAUGGUCAAAUAUGGUCAAACCAAUCAAAUCUAGUAAAACCAAUCAAUUGGAUCAAGACUUAUUUGGACCAAAAGUCAAUAUCCAUAAUUUGAUCCAAAUUUAUCAUGCAAGGCUAAAAUAUUUCUUGAAGUCCAUAAUGUUUUAUAAAACUGUAUAUUUAGUGGGCCAAACAUAUGGACUUUUGUUGGGUUUAAAUGUCUUGUUUAUCUUUAUUAAGGUUAACUUACAUUAGAGAAACCCUAAUAUCCUUAACAUAAAUGUAUUAAAAAUCAAUUUGCACAACAAUGAAUUGGCUAACUAAAAAUAAUGAAUCUGUGCAAUAAACAAUGAAUCAGCCAAGUAAAAAUAUCAAAGCCAACAACCAAGGUUUGACUAUCGUGGGACCUGACCGAAGGCAUAAAGACACAAUUCACGUCAAUCAACGUCACGAAUUGACAUCUAAGCGAUCAAUGUUGUGAGCAUAGAGACUGAGACGCAACGUUGGAACUUUUUUUUUUUUGUCGCAACGAUAGGAUUCUUAUAACCUACACUAGUCUAAUCUCGGGGGAAGGGGGAGGGGAUUCGAUGUGAGUAGAAACUUCAUCGAAUAUGGUCAACGAAAACCAUCACAUAUUGUGAUAAUUUUGGUGGGAGGCAAGAAUCGAACCCUUGACCUCCCAACACCACCAAGCCUUAGAAGGUUGGGUAGUAACGCUGGAACUUGAUUCAUGUUGUUCACAAAUUCACACGAUAAUCAUUAAGAAAGCACAUGAAUGACUUUAGCAAACAAGUAGUCUAGAUUCAUUGGCCAUGCAGCAAAACCAAAAGUGAUUGCAAUUCUUUUACGGAUUAUAAAAGCCAAAACACGAAACUGAAACAUACAACCAAAUCAUGAACAUGACUACAACCACAGAACAAAAUUGUUUGCCGUGAAAAUCAAAAACUAAAUUAAUCAUAGUUUUUUUUUUAAUAAAACUAUGAAUUACUAAAUCCAAACUAUUUCCUAAUAAUCAACCAUAUCCGGCUCUAAUACCACUUCUUAGGGUGGUUAUCUAAAAUUAACCUUUGGUGAAUACCAUCACCUAUUAAACCCAAAAUCUAUAUGGCGAUUAUUAAGAAAUAAAUUAACAGUGAAAUAGCGGAAGCGCACCUGGAUUCAUAUCGACAAACUGAUAUUUGAAUCUCCAAAGAUAUUGGGGUAGUCUUCCAGAUCAACAUGUAUUUGCCAAUUCUUGAGAGAGCCCUUUAGUAUCUCUUUGGUAUCUUUCCUGACGAUGGGAUAUCAGAGAAAAGCUAUUUUUUGUGGUACUAGAAAAUAUGACAAAUAGAAUACGUGUGACUUGGGGACCAUAACCCUAUUUAUAGAUAACAAUCCUCUUACCCUUUGGAUCCCUAUUUCAGUCCAUCAUAGAAAUAGAAAAUAUCCUUAAGUCUCUACACAUUAAAGAUCCACACCCUAUUAGAUACAUUAAGUCCAAACCAUAUUUGAUCACUUUAAUUGGAUUCAACCUUAUUUGACAGUUUGCAACCCAUAAUUAUUCACAUAUAAGUCCAACGUUGGAUUAAGGAUCCAACAUACUGCUCUUUGCAAAUGUUUUGCAUGCAAGACUUGCAUGAUUUCCAUUCUCCAUGGGGAAUCCAAAUAAGUUCUGUUGAUGUAAAAACUGCUUAAAUAAGCCGAUGGUGGGAGUCACAUGCUGCUAAAGGAUUGUAAAUGCACAACUACCGAAUUGAUUAUCAAGAAUUUGGUUAAUUGGCAAUCAAUGAUCUUUCACAAAAUUUACCAUACCAGUUUAGUGAUCAUCAUCCUCGAAUUUCUUGUUGAGAUUUGAAAAGUCAUUAAUCCAAGGUUAAUGAAGAUUUGUUCAUGAGAAAUUAGUUGGUUAUCAAUAAUAGUAUCAAUAAAAGCAAAUAAACCUGUGGUAUUGGAAUCAAAAUUCUUUAUCACCACAACAGAACAAUGCGUACAUCCAAUAAUCAUGACUGGAAAAAAAAACCCAAAUAGUUGAGAAACUAAACAAAUUUGUACUUACUUAGGGCUGAUAUGUUGACUUGGGACAAAAUUUGUUUUCUCUGAUUCAGUCCUGUAGUUCCCAAGGAACGUGUAUAUGGCGACUACAAUCCUGCAGUUUCUGCAGAGUUUGGAAUUUUUAAGUUUUAAACAUUAAUCUCUUUUGUUUCGAACACAACGGUGAGAAAAAAAAAAAGGAACUCUAGAUAUUGAUGGAAUCAUGUGUAACGAAGUCCAAUAAUUUGUCAUUUUGUGUCUCUAUAAUAUUAGCAUACAUAGACAUAUUUUAAAUAAAAGGCAUUUCUUAAGAAGAGUUGAUAUCGAGGUGCUAAACCUUUGCGUCCACGUAAGAUCUUGGCAAUUUUCAUGAUUCUUAAAAUUAUGUAGCUUGAAUAUUUUUGCUACGUUUCACAUAUCUUGUUCCUAACAUGGCAUUGUCAAGCAAUGCACUUGAUUGCAUUUAACUUCGUCAAGAAAGCUAAUAAAAUUUACAAAAUUUUCAUCACAUAAGCUACACUAGUCACUACUCUUAUUUUUUAAACUAAUUUCUAUAAAGGUGUCACGCGUCGAGCCCGCACGUGCCCGUCACAUGACAUUCGCCGUACUCCCAAGUUUCACUCAAGAAUACAAGGCUACAUUAACUAAUUUAACUUUAACAGCAUUAAAUAAUUUAACUAAAUAAAGUGCGGUACGAAUUACAUAUAAAAGAAAGUUUGCGAAUAUUCGAGACGUCCGUACAUUUAUUCUCUGAUUGAAACAGUGGGAACCAAAGUAAAUAAGACUAACAACUAGAAGGAGCCAGCCCGCCAGCAUCUAUUCAUCUAAAAUUAAUAAAAGUCAUCCUCAGGGUCUUCUACGUAAACCAACUCAUACUCUUCAGAAUCUGCAAAAAUGGUAAGAAGUGGGUUGAGCGACACAUCGCUCAGUAAGUAAUAUUUACCCCUCUGUUGGACCAUGUACUCAUAACUUUAUAAAUAUAUACAUAAGUACAAAUCAAAUCAUUUGCACAUCGAUCACUUCCAUAAUUUUGAAAGUAAUGUCAUUUAUAAAACAAUUAGUAGUAACAAGUGGCAAGCCAUUUAAAAGCAUCUUAUUGAUAAAUGAGCAUGGAAAAUCAUAAAGCCAUAAAUCAUUUCGUCACAAUUCACAAGUCUCUUCAUAUCCAAUCAUAAAACAAUUCAUAUCAGUUCGUAAGUCUCAUUUCAGACCAGUUCAUAAAUCAUUCCAUAUCCGUUCGUAAAUCUUCUUUCAGAUCAGCUCAUAACAAGUACAUGUGAUAACCGGCUACUGAGUACUCAGCCUAGAGAUUAAACCCCUUCUAGGUGGGCGACCAAUAGGUUUCAUGACUACCGAUUGGUCUCAUUUCAUACUUGGGUCAAUCAAUCGGACUUUAUACCAGACUACCAUGACAUUGUCAAUCGGCUGGACUCUAUACCAGACUACCAUGACCUUGCCAAUCGACCGGACUUUAUACCAGGCUACCAUGGCGAUUAGACAGGACUAUAGCCCUUACCGUCUAUUCCAUGACUGCUCUGAGUUUUACUUGUCAAAAAUUUCAUUUCACGUGUCACAUACAUAAAUCUUUGAGGUCAUAAAGGAUUCAACUCGUUUGUAUAUACUAACAUUUCAAAACAUUUCAAAUAAGUCACAUGGUCCAUUUUUGUAUAGUAAGAUAUAACUUUCAUAAAUAUCCAAAUAAAGCAUUUAAUCAAACCCCUUUCGAGUCAACACAACAAAAUAGGAUUGAAAACAAGAAUUUCAUUUUGCACAUUUGAAAUCUCAGAAGAGUAAGUACCACCUACCUUUGUCUGGCUGAUUGAGUGGAAUUACUUUAGCUCUUUUAAACUGGUGUCGUACCUAACAAAUGCAUAGGUUUCCUAAUUAGUUGGUAUUUUCUAUAGAUGCAUAAAUAUACAAACUCUGAGUAAGUCAAAGAUUCAUGCCUAAACCAUUAUAUGAACCCUAGCAGCCUUUUCUUAAAUUGAAUGAUUUCUAUUUUUAGAAAGUUUCCUAAAUUGGAAAGUUCCUAUUUUUAGAAAGUUUCUUAAUUUGAAAAGUUCCCUUUUGUAAAGUUUCCUAAUUUAAAGGAACAUAAUUAUUCAUAAUCCUGUUUAUUAUCCUGACUACUAUCUUACUAUAUUUAUUUAUAAUUUAUAAUUAUUCAUUAUUAUUAUUAUCGUCUCCAUCGUCGCUAUUUUAUUUUAUUAUCAUUUAUAUAUAUAUAUAUAUAUAUAUUUGUAAAUUAGUUACUAUUAUCUUUCGCUUUACUUCCAUUCUUGUGCGUGUGUAGGUGUUAUUAUUAUUUAUGUAUACAUGUACCUAUAUAUAUAUAUAUAUAUAUGUUGACUUAUUAUUAUAAUUAUUGUAUUAGUUUAUUACACUUGUAUUUAUAUUUAUAUUUUCGUUCAUAUCCUUAAUUUAUUUCAUCUAUAUCUAUAUCUAUAUUGUUGUUGUUAUUAUUAUUAUUAUUAUUAUUAUUAUUAUUAUUAUUAUUAUUAUUAUUAUUAUUAUUACCAUUAGUGUUAUCGUUAGUAUUAUUAUUAUUAUUAUGAUUUUACGCGUUCCGUUUAACAAUUUAGGACUUGUCUUACAUUAUAUAAAUUAAUCUAGUAGGGCAAGAUUAAAAUGUUCUAGAUUUCUAUUUAAUUAUUUAGACUUAAUUAAUUAAGUACAAGCUUUGAUGACUAAACUUCAAAAAUUAUUUCUAGAUUGGAUUUUGUAAUUUAAUACCCAUGAUAAGCUACUUAACAAUUCAAUAAUUUAAUGAAUUCAGAUUUUAGAUUUCAUAUUUCAAAUUUCAGUUUUCAAACUUCUGUUUUAUUAAACGCACCCUUAGUCAUGGUGAACUCAAAAAUUCCUGAUUGAACUAAAAUCCAAAAACAAUAAUCGCUCCCCUCUAGCUGUCGAUGACUAAAUGUGGACAUAUCUCUCUGUGUGUAUAUAUAAACAAGGCUAAAGUCCGAAGAAUAGGCGAUGGUAGCUUUCAAGUUUCAACCACUCAAAAUUCCUCAUUGAACUAAAAUCUACAACAACAACAAAAAAAUAUCGGUCCCCUCUUGCAGAUUCAAAUAACAAACUUUUCCAUCUAUCUAUCCAAAAUUGGAUUCUAACUCCACUCUCUAUUGUAUUGAGACCAAAAUCAACAGUCCAUUACUUAAUUAACUCCCAAAAAUUCGUUUGAGGCCCUAAUAUAAGCAUCACAAAAUAGUGUAUUUUAAACAUCUUGACAAUAGUAAGAGCGAAUUGUCUUAAAUUUGGAUGAUGAAAAAAUUAUGGCAAAAUUAAAAAGAGUAAUAAAAAACAAAUUAAAUCACAAAAAUAGCAAUCAUGUUCGAAACUUCCUAGUGAAACAUUACCGGAAAAGAUUAUUGUUUUCUGAUAAAAGGUAGAGAAGCAAACCAGCUGUACAGAAGUCAUAAAAGAAAACAGCUAAGUUUAACAAAUAACACAAUAGGAUACGCAACCAACAAUUAUAAAUAACUAUUUUAUAUCACAUACGUUACAUCGAAAAAAAUAUACGGACACUGGAACCCAAACUCACAAACUCACAUCCAAAAAACUAUACACAUACUUCUCACAACUCACAAACCUAAACUAUUGGAACACGGAUAUUGUUCAUUUUUUACUGCUAACGUCAUCCAUAUCAAGUGCAAAUUUUGGAUCGGACUCCUGAUUCAUUUUAUUUGGGAAUCGUUGCAAUUAAAGCCUGAUCAGUUCCUAUUAAUUAAAGGCGCGCUCUCUACUCUACUCUGAACCCAGCCCUUAUCUUUGCUCUUUCUACUUUCAACCUUCUCUCCGCCGGUAUUCCUCCAUAGAAUGGAGAUCUUGGCUUCAAGUCAAGGUUUUCCUUCCUCUUUCUCUGUUUUUGUUUUAGGUUUAAUAAAAUCUUUCUUAGAAUAUUCUAAUGAGAGUUUUGUCUCUUCUAAUGUUUUACUAGUGAGAGUUUUCAUAUCUCACAGGUUAUUCUAGUAGGAAUUUUGUUUGGUUUUUGUUAUUUUUCUCUUCGAUUUAAGAGUUUUUUUUCAAAUCUAUAUAUUAGAUAUGGAUUUCUUGAAUCUUUUUGUCCGAUCUCAACAUUAGUUUUGAAUUUGAACCAAUUUGGUAGAAGAUCUAAGGGAAUAGAUGGGUGUAGACAUUUAUGGAGCAGCUCUGUAAUUGAUUAGAUAUGAUAAUUUGUGAUUCACAGUGUAAUCUUUUAUAUUUUAUAACUUUGAUAAAUUUAAUGAGUUUUUAUAUCACAUAUAUUUGCGAUAUGUUCUAUGUAUUUUCUACCAUUUGUGCAGUUUUAUUUAUCAAACAAAUCGUGUUGGACGAUUUUUAGCUAGUUUAUUAAUAAUAUUGGUUUUUUUUUUAUCAGAAAAGUUCCUAUUAAUUAAUGAACAACUGCCUUACUAAGAAAAAAAAAAAAAGGUACCUUACAAUCAAAUGGUUCGGUUGCUUUUCUUUUCCCUUUUUUGUUAGAGUGCAUGUGAAUGUAUUUUGUUUGGACAGUGAAUUAUUUGUCAAAAUUUACAUCAUUAACACAUUUUUUAACCACCUUUUUAUCUCAUAUACAUCACAUCAAUAAAAUGUUAUUGUAUUUUUUUUAAAAAAAAAUUAUUCAAAAUAAUCUACUAUCCAAACUUUCUUCUUUGAGUUGAUGAAUGUCAUCACAUAAUCCAAUUUUAUAAAUAAAAAAUGAUUUGUUAGUAAAAAUAAAAAUAUUAUUAGUUAAUAAAACUAAAAUUGUUUAUACCUAAAAUGUAACAUAUAUUAUUAACUAACAAAUAACCUAAUAUUUGACAGGCAUAUAGAAAAUAGAAAUGUAUAGAACAGUAAACUUGACGCCUACAAUUUUUGUGUUUCUUACUACAGUGCAAGUACUUCGGAGUGGGAAUGAGUUUUCCUUAGACUUUUCCAAAUUUACGUUAUUAAAAAGUUAAUUUUAAUAUUAUUAAGUCAUAUAUGUCUAAAUCAAUUAUUAUUAUUUAUAGAAUGUCUUCUUAUUUAGUAGCGUAGUAGUAAAUCAACUCUAAGUAGGGGAAGGAUGUGUUGGGUGGUACGGAGGGAGGGAGUGUAAGUAAGAGGUCUCGGGUUUAAGUCCUUCCAUUUACACUAAAAAAAUCAACUUUAAGUAAUAAUAAUAAACUAAAGAAAAUGGAUAGGUGCAUAUUUAAUAACUGGUCCCCGCAUCAUCUUUUAUGUUAUUAGGUUCACACUCCCUGCCCUGCACAAACAAAUUACUUUCUUAUAUUAACAAAAUGAUUUCUCCAACUCUCUUUGUCCUAAUUAUUUUGUCCUGUUUUGAGAAUCUAACAUUUUAAAAAUAGUGAUUUGUAUUGUGAUGUUUGUGUUUGUCUUUUCAAUUUUACCUUCACAAAUUCAAAUUUGAAUUUGAAUGAUAAUAUAUAUAUGAUUAGAGGUAAGGGUUAUAUUGGAAAGAGAGACUAAAAGAUGCUUUGAUUUUUUAACAGUAAAAAUAUUUUGAACAUUCUAAAAUAAAAAAUAUGAGACUUUCAAUGGAAUGGAAAAGAAUUUCUUUAUGCCUCACAUGACCCACUUGCCCCGACAGCUUAGGUGUUGCAAUCCUACCAAAUCAACGGCCUUUACAUAUAGUUGUUGCCAAAUUGGAGUUAGUGCAUUAAUAAUUUACUCCUCUCUAAUUUGAAUUGGAGUUGGUGCAUUAAUAAUUGGAGUUUGGUGCACCGGUUAAUAACUCGUUGCCCCGAACCUAUUGGAUGGUAACACUUUAGGACUUUACCACCAUGUUUCGUACUUUUAAUUUUGACAACUCAUAUGCAUAGUUUUCUUUUCAAAUUACCCCUAAACUGCCUAAUUUCUCAACAGUCAACUUUUAUACCGUUGUAUUUUCUAUUAUAUAUUCACUAUAAUAUUCUACUAUUACAUGCUAUGAUAUUAGAUUAUAGUAUAAAUUAAAUAAAAAAAACUCCACCAAUCGCCGCCUUAUACUCGUCCUUUUUCAAGACCAUGUGGGCACUUUCAUUGUGACCACUAUUAUUUUUUAUUUGACAUAAUUUAAAAAAAAUAUAUAUAUAUAACAUCAAUAACAAUCAUAAUUAUAAGUCUUUUGAAUAUUUGGCCAAAAAUAACAAAUGCAAUUCAGUCAUUUUUUCACAUUUGAUAUUAUGCAAAUCUAAAUCAAUGUCUAUGGAUUUUUUUACAAACAAUAUUCAAGAUGUGACAAAUAAAAAAUCAAGCAAAUUGACAUAACAAAAUCAUAGUUUUACUACAAAACAUAAAUAAUUGCCAAGAAAGGGUACAUUAUUUUAUCACAACAAGGUGUUAUUUCAAAAUAUAUAUUUUUAAAAUUUAGGGUGGUGAAGUGCUACCACCCCGUAAAUUCAGGGGAACGAGGUGUUAUUAACCAAAAGGUGCACUUCAUGCAUCAAUGUUUGGACAUGUAAGCGAAAAGAUGGCCAUUGGCCAAAAAAACCGGCUGGGUAAAAAAUUAUGAAUGUAUAAAUUCGAUUCAUUGGAAAGUUGAGCAGUUGGAGGACAGCCAUGUGACACAAUGACUGAACAUUGUAUAGCCAAAAUUUUUAAAAAAAAAUGAAAAUGAUGGACGAAAAAGGGCAGCGAAAGGCAUGAUCAGAAAGCAAAAGUGCUUCUUACUGGACUAACCCCCUCGCUAUUGCAUUGGAAGCAAUAUCGAAGGGGCAGUUUUAUUUUAAAAUAUAAGGAAGGGGCAAAGUGCCUAUUUAUUGAAUUGAGAAAAGUAAAGUAUAAUUGAGAGUAAAUUUUAGAACCGUUUAAUGCUUUUAACAUUAAAAUUUAUUUAAAAUUUAUUUUCAAAAAUCAACACCACUCAUAAUAUAUUUUAUUCUUUGUGUUAAUUAGAAAGAGAAUUUUGUAUGAAAGUUAUCAAGUUUUAUCAUUUGAUUGAUCAGUACAAAUUUUGUCACGAUUUUGACCCAUUUUUACCAUUCAAAUGUUUUGUGUAAAUUAAAUUUCAAAAUAUUUUAAAAAAUAUCAUCUCUUAGUAUGUUGAUUUAAAAAUCAAAAGAAAAGCAAUGACACAAUUGCAUAAAUCAAUAAUAUUAUCUAAAUUUAAAUAUAAAUAAAUUAGAGAAACCAAUAGAGAGAAAUUUAAUGGAGAGGAUCCUAACACAUUGCUGUUAUGUACUUCCUCCGUCCCAACGGAAGGGACGCUAUUCAAAACUUUAGGUUGUGUUUAGAUUGCAAAUUUUUGGAGUUCUUAUAGAAAAUGUAUUGUAACGAUUUGAUAUAUGUGAAGUAAAAAAGUGAUUGAAAAAUGUUUUCAUGAAAAACAUAUAGAUUUUUUUGGUAAAAAAUCCAUUUCCAAACAAGGUCUUAACUUUUUAAGCAAAGUAGAAGCAAAUUUGUAUUUGAGCUGUUUGUACCCUCUUUGCCCCCGUUCUUUUUUUUUACAGCAACGAUAACAUUUCUAUACCCUAAUUUAAAGGGAAUGGGAGUCUAAAGAAACUAUGUAUAAGAGCCUAGUAAAUAUAAGAACUUAUGAAACUAAAGAGGUGUUCUGACUUCUUCGUUAAAUUUUUUUCAUUAUAAGUGGAGUUCGAAUCCCUAACCUACAACACAAAGAGGACUUUAAUCUCUUUUUUAUGGGUACUGUGAUUUGGCUCGGCGGUUCUCUUUGCCCCAUUGAUAAGUGAAAAAAUUCGUAGAAUCACGAAAGAAGAUGCCGUUGGUCUCCCGACAUUUUAAAUCCAUUUUAUGCACAGUAAGAACCACGCACCAAAGUUGACCACAUAUAUUUGUGGUGCCGUCACACACCAAUUCUUUCUUCCAAAUAUAUUUUUUCAUGGGUCCAAUAAUUCUUUUAUCAAUACCUUUAUUCUAACAAAUCAACAGCCUUUACCUUUGGUAAAAACUACCUACUACAGUUGGAUCCGAAUUUUUUUAGUAUAAAGUGUCAUUAAACUCCUUUUAACUCCUUUAAGUCUUUUAGAUCAUGUCGUCUUAUUUAACAUGUUUUAAGAAGUUGAGUGACUUUUUUUGACAAAAAAAAUAUAUAUUUUUUUUAAGGAGUUGAAUGACUCUUUUUGACCAAAAAAUUUUUUUAAAAAAGUUUGAUCACCAAAUAGUAUCAUUUUAAAUAGUUUAGUCACCGUUUUUCAACCAAAAUGGAGGCCUUCACGUGGAAAAUCAACCCUUGCAUCAACGAAGGCUUAUUUAAGUUGUUAUGGCAUCAACGAAAUUUGUCUGGAAUCUGGAUUCCACAUGGAGAACGGAAAUCAUGCAAGUCUUGCAUGCAAAACGCUUGUGGAGAGCAGUAAAUAUAUGGUGAAUAAUGGAAAUCACUACAAGAAAACUAAAGGAAAGCCUGAAUCACACCCCAUGGCUGGUGGAAAUGAUUCUAAGAGCUAUGCUCAAAACUCCAGCUAUCAGAUAUUCUCACAAAAUAUUUUUCAUUUUUUAAUAAAAAAAAAAGGUGGAAAUGGUUCUAAGAGCUAAGCCUGAAACAUUUUUUUUUCAUUUUUCAUUUUUCAUUUUCACAAAACCAUUCCAUCACGUACCACUCAAUUGACAUUGUGCAUGUGAAUUUUUGUGUCACACUUCCUAUAGAAAGGGGUGAUUGAAGCUGCAAAAUGUGAAAUUGUACAAGCAAUUAAGGAGAAGCUGGAAAACGACUGGCCAAGACAUUUGUGAUUGCUGAUUAUGGAUGUUCCACUGGACCCAAUGCAUUCCUUGCAGUACAGAACAUUGUUGAAGCAGUGGAGCUAAAGAACAAAUCUCUGCAACAGAGCCCACCUCUCGACUUCCAUGUUUUCUUCAAUGAUCUUGUAGACAAUGAUUUCAAUACUCUCUUCAAAUCCCUCCCUUCACCCCGAAGAUAAUUUGCUGCAGCUGUACCUGGCUCCUUCUACAAGCGUUUAUUCCCUAAAGCUAGCCUUCAUUUGGCUAAUUCUUCUUAUGCACGCCAUUGGUUUCAAGGUUCCAGAAGAAGUUGGAGAUCAUAAUUCAUUGGCAUGGAACAAAAGCAAGGCAUAUUGUUCGGGCACAAACAAAGAAGUCACAGAGGCAUAUUUUGCUCAGUUCCGGAAAGAUCUCAACAGGUUUCUGAAUGCUAGAGCAGAAGAACUUGUCAUAGGCGGCCUUUUGGUGAUUUAAUUACCCGGUGUUCCGAGCGGCACCCUUCCUUUUAAUACCGGUGCAGGCUUCCUCCAAGAGCUGUUAGGAUCAUGUCUUUUUGAGAUGGCCAACUUGGUAGGAUCUGACAAUUUCCAUCUUCAUUUUAAUUUGAUCUGUAAUGCAAGUAUUGGGGGUCACACUCAUCAGUUCAAAUGAUUUCUUCUGGCUUUGUGGCAGCUUGUUUAUGUAUGCUGCAGGGAUUUAUCAGUCUAGAAAAAGUGUAUUCAUUCAACUUGCCAAUGUACUUUCCAUCAAUUGAAGAAUUAGACCUGGUUAUAAAAGGGAAUGGUCAAUUUAAAGCAGAAAGAAUAAAGAUAUUGGAUCACCCAAUGCAGCACUUGCCUUUUGACGCAAAAAUGACUUGCUUGCAGACCAGAUCUGUCUUUGAGGGCUUCAUCAAAGACCAUUUCGAAAUAGACAUUGUCGAUCAACUGUUCGAUCAAUUUGCUAAGAAACUUGAAGAAAGUUGCUCAAUCUUUGAUCAGGAAAUUCGCAAAGAUACUGACCUAUUUGUUCUGCUCAAACGCGUCUGUUGAAGGAUUGUUGUUUGGUUGAUUUACUAUCUAAACUGAUAUGCACUUAUUUUUGUCUCAUAAAGUAUCACCAAAGUUAUGGUGACAUUUCUUUUCUCUCAACUGUUGAUUGUCUACAUACUUGAUCAUAUUCAUGAUAUUCAACUCUCACGUAGAGCUGAGAUUUUCUCAAGUCAACUUUCUUUGCUGGAUUUGGGUUCUCAUUCUACUUGGCCAUUAUGCUUUGAUCUAAAAGACUAGAUUAUAGUUUUCUCAAAUAAAUGGCUCCUCGAGUCAAGUUUUCAGGAAAACCUACUCGUCAGCUGAUGUUUUGGCUUCUUUACAAUCUCAUCCUCAACAGUGAACGACAGCUAUUCUUGUAUAUCCUUGAGGGACUUACCAUGAGACAUUCGGGCGAAAGUUGCUUUAGAUUGUGUAGCUAUGUCUAGUUCAAAUUGAUUCGUGCAAGUCUUAAUCCAUCGGUGUAAACACAUACAGUUUUGAUAUAAUGGUGAACUUUACAGCAAAAUAGUUAUAUGAGUUGAUAAUUCAAAUUUGUACUCAAGUUAUAGGAAUUUAUAUCAGAAGUUAUAUAAGAAUUACAUCAACCAGUUUGAACGAGUCAGAAUUCAACUUGUCAGGCAUGUUUCCCUUAGUUAUCUGACUGCACUAAUCUUUGUGAAGUAUAGACUAUAAAUUGCAUCUUCUUGACCGUUAGACAAUGAUUUAUGCUGUUUUAUGCUCCGGAAAUUUACUUGCUCCUUUUCUUCUCAGUCUUCAUAAACAGAGUUAGUAAUAAUGUAUUUGGUAACGUUUUUUUAUUUCUCUUUUUUGCUAUCUAAAUUUGGUCAAAGUCAUCCAAGACAGUAUGCUCAAAACUAAGCGAAACAUUUCAUCAAAAGUUGAUUAGUUGUAGCUUGUCCUGAAUUUCCAUUUUGAAUUUGCUAAGGGAAAUAUUAUUUGCACUCCAUUUUUUAUUAUUUAUACUCUCACUGUUUUUUUUUAUCAUAUAAUCUAGUAAAUGAAAAUUAUAUAAUUAAAAUAAUAAUGAAAAUGUGAUUAACAAAAAUAGGAGUGUAAAUAACAUUUUCCUUUUCUAAAUAUUUCUAAACAACGCUCCAAACUGACUGUCCUUCUCAAGAUCUUUCCUAGAACCUUGUGUUGACAGAAGUAAUUCUUAAAUGUCCACUUGGUUUGACCCCAUAAAUUGUGCCAUCAACAUAAGUUGGCUUAGUUGGUAAGGAUCGGUAAUUUCCUUAUAAAAGCUCAUUUGUUUGAAUUUCGUUGUAGAUGUGAGAAAUGUGUUGAUGGACGAUCCGUAAAAACCUUUAUAAACGGCAUGUGAUUCCGGAAGCAUACUUUGACGCAUGGUGCUGAUUGAAGGCGAACUCACCCAAACUUUUUUUAAUUGAAAAAAAAAAAUGUCUGCAUUACUUUCACCAGCCGCCUAGUGGCCUACUAAUGCCUGUAGUUACCCUUGAGGUGCCGGUCAAUUAAGUACAAUUACUAGUCCGGUGCGCGAUUUGCUCUAGAUGGCGUAGUUUUAAUUUUUAAAUGGAUUAUUAUCACUUUACCCCCUUAAACUAUAUCACUACUAUCAGUUUAUCCUCUAAUGUUAUUUUUUAAUCAGUUUACCCCCAUAAAUAAUUCAACUCAACAUGUUAAGAAAUUUUGGACAAAAAUACCCUUUUAUUUUAUAGCAUUACUACAAUGUUAUUAUCAAUUUAUUCGUUUAGAUUACAGUGAUACAAUUACUUUAGUUCCUAACAUUAUUUUUUAGGCAUUUAUCUCAUCAUUAAUCUAACUAGUAUGGUCAAAAAUUUUAAAUAUAUUUACCCUUUUAUAUAUAAUUAAAAAUAAAAAAGUUGGAAUGGUUAUUCUUCUUUUUUUCACUUUGAGAGAUUGAAAAACAUAAAAAUAAAAGGGUUUUCUCAAAUUUCUUUUUUUCACACUUAUUACUACUAGGAAAAGAAAAAAAGAUAGAAAAGAAGAAGCAAGAAAAUUAGAUUUUGCAAAGAAAGAAAAUAAAGAAAAGUCUAACAUUAUCGUAUUACAUUAAGGUUGUCGGGAUUAGGAUUGGAAUUUGGUAGUAAACAGAAAAGUGAAAUAAUUUUAAAAUAAUAAAAUAUUUAAUUCUUCCUUAUUUGUAAUUUUUAAAAAAAGAAUUGAGCUCUCUCCCUCUCCCCCUCCCCCUCUCCAUCUUUCUAUUCUUUUUUGAUAUUAAUAAGAUUGCCAAGAAGAAAUAAAUUAAUAUUUUGACUUUUUUCCUUGAUACUAAAAAGGAGAAGAGCUCUCUAAAUUUUUUAUUAUUUUUAUUAUGCAAAGAGGAAGGUAUUUUCUUCUAAAGUUUUUUAACUUGCUAAGUUGGUUUAAUGAUAGGAUAAUUGUCUAAAAAAUAACUCUAUGGGGUAAAUUAAUAAUGAGACUAUAGUUUAUGGGGGUAAAAUGAUAAUAAUUUUAAGGGUUAAACAUGUUUUUUUAUUUUAAUUAACAAAUUCGGUUAAGUUUGACUGUUAGUCUUGGAGGUAAAGUGACUAAAAGAUAACGUUAAGGGAGAAAUUGAUAAUGGCACCAAACGGUAAGGGGAUAAAGUGAUAAUAACCCUUUUUAAAUCUUUAAUUGUUUCUACUGCUGCAGUUGUGCUUCUUUUUUAAUUAUUGUAUUUUCCUAUUCUAAAUAUUGUAUCAUUUGCUCGAGGUUAGGUUUUUGUCCCUUUCCACGUGCUUUUAAUUUUGCUUAUAAAUAAAAUUUAGAGCCAACAUCCCUCAUUUAUAGAGUUUUGCCAAAAGAAAAAAAAAACUCUAACCUAGAGCAUUAGGUGCUGUAUGUCUAUCAGUAUUAAUUUUCAGAUUGUCAAGCGUAGGUACGUUUAAAUAUUCAGGCAACAAAUAUUGAAAAUGGGAGUUGAUAAUGCCACAACUUUAAUGUUAAUGUCAUAAAAAUUCUUGCUUUAUUGUCCACAUUACCCUUCAGGAGUGAAAACUUUUUAAACAAUUUUUUUAUACACCUUCAGUGUAAGGAUUGUUUUACACCAACUGAAUCAUGUCACAUAAAAUAAAUUCAAAUUUAAAAUUUAAAUUACGCACAUAUGACAUAUAUUUAAAGCUGCUAAUGUAAAAAAUCAAUACAUUAUCAAUGUAUAGAACUGUUUUAUGAUGCCCUUUUUUAUGGGUUUCACUUCUAUUCCUAUCUUUCUUCCUUUCUCACUAAUCCAUCCUUUUUUCCGAAGUUGGCAGGAAAAUACAGCAAUUAUUGCUUGUGAACUGCAAACAAAGCAGCUGCCGUAUCCUCUUUCAUAUCUUUUUCAGAUGGAUGAUUCUAUGGAACUGUACGAGGUGUUCUACAGUAGGUAAAACCUGAUGCAGCUGUCUAGAAGUGGCAAUCAGAUCAAAAAUGGAUUGGCAGAUUAGGUCAAGGCUCGGGUAUAACAGAAGGCCCACUGACUCGAACACAACCCACCAACCCAUGAUGGGUCAACAUGCUUGACCCGAACACGAAGUUUUCAGGUUGGCGGGUCACCUGAUAUGACCCAAAAUAUAAUUCCAAUUUACUAGCCUACCGCUAUAAUUUCUAACAGAACCAAUUCUGCACAAAACUAAUUACAUAAUCAAGUAAUAAAAACCUCAAUAAAACAAUUCCAAACCAGAUUUGAAAUAAAUUAAAACACAAUAAAAGUGUUUUAUCCCUAACCAAAUUUGAAAUAAAUUAAAACACUUAAAAAGUAGAAAAUAAUGUAAUACAUCAUUUGUCCAAACAUCACAAUUCUAACUUCACACAACCUAAACAAAUUCAUUUAGGAUUAAGUAGUUAAUGCCUUGGAGAAAAAAAAUAAUAACUUAGUUUAGUUCGAUAAAAUAUUUUUUAUAUUUAUUAAAUUAUUUUUAGUUCAUAAACGGGUUAUCAGGUCAACUCUUAGGUGACCUGAAUUCAAAUGUUUUCUUUUCAGGUUCAAUAGGUUUGACCCAAUUCUGACUCGAAUCCACAAAAUAUCAACCCAAACCUAUUAAUUUUGUAUUACUUUUGUGUCGUAUUUUCAGGUCGUGGCAGAAAUUGCCAUCCCUAAACCUGUCGCAUCAUUACGUUUGUGAUAGCACAACAAUGCUGACUUGGGUGUGGGGCAAGCUGUAGGAAAUUCAAACGCCUGGUUAGACCAUUGUUUUGAAAACCGGACUACACCCACCGAUUCGACUAGUUGGAUCGCGAGUUCAUAGCUCCGAUUUGGUUCAUAUUUUGGGUUGAUUGGACUUAAAAACUAGAUUGAAUCAUUCGAACUGUGCGAACCAUGCAAACCGGAUUGAAUUGUUGAAUCGAUGGUUUUUUUGUUUUUGUCUAUUAAAUUGAUAAAAAAUUGAAAAAAGAAUAGGUUUCCUUAACCUUAAAGGCUAAUUAUUAAAUGCCAUAUUCACUCACUUUCUUCUUAUUUUUUGCCUCUUAUCCUGUUUGCAUCUCUAUUUUCUAUUUUCUUGACUUCCUCCAAACUUCAAACUUCUUUUUUUUUUUAAAUUGCAAUAUCUAAAUCUAAAAAAUGUGAAUUAAAAUUUAAACUCACAAUGUCCAAUUCCCAUAGAUAUGAAUUUUGUAUAAUUUUAGAAUAUUGUGGUAUUUUUGGGUCGGAUUUAAGAUUUUUUUUGGUAGAUACAAUUAAAAUUGAGGUGAAAUUUAUUUGUUUUAACUUAUAAUUUUAAAAAAUUAUUUUUAAAAUCCAAGUUCUUUGAAAAUAUUAAACUUUUCAUCAUAUGAAGUUUUAAAUUAGUCCAUCACAUGUUUUAUUUUGUGCAUAUAUAUUUAUAUAAAUUAUUUUUUUUAGAAAAUUUAUUGAAUCGGGAUUGAAUCGGUACAACUGAUUAAAUUUUGACUCAAACACUCAAUCGGUUCAAUUAACGGUCUGAGUUUCAAAACAUUGGGCCAGACAAAAGAGUGACGGUAUAAGGGGUCUGCUAAAUUUAUUUUCAUAUGACCAAUUGUUUUGAAUUAUAUGAUAAGGAUAAAGACUUGUGUAACCUCGGCCUAAGCCUACGAGCCAACUUGUAGAUCGAGCAAUGAAAAAUUUGCCACGUCUUCAAAACUUUUUUUUUCCUUAAUACCUUUAGAAGCUCUUGAGCAUUCUACUCUGCGUAUGUUUCUUGAACAUGAAAGAAACUCUUUGCUUAGACGUAGGUUGCAAUCUUGGGUGCAGAUCUGGGUUUUCUGCAAACCUUAUGAGCUUAACAACAAAACAUUGAAAUCUAUAUCUUAUAUUUUUUGAGAAAGAAGGGAAGAAAAUACGGUGAACGAGAACGAAAAUGAAGGCCGUGGGUGGUUCUCAACAGUAGUGCUGGUGAUGGCAAAAAGGGAAGGGAAAUGACCGAAAUCAUGGGUGGAGGUAGGCAAGUGUUUAUAAUGGCGGUGGUGAUGAGUUGGCUGGGCGGUGGAUGGUGGGAAGUACAAGCACUUCUACUGGGGAUUGAGGGCCAUUCGGGAUUGAGAUAAUUUAUUGAAAAAUAUUUUUUCAAUAAAAUUUUUAAUAAAAGUACUUAUUAAGUGCUUAAGUGCUUUUAAAUAUAGUAUUUGAACAUAUAGUUCAAUAAAUUCUUAUUGUACUGGAUAAUAUGUUAUUUGAAAAUUUUUAAACGUAUUUAUCUAUUUAUUUAGUUUAUAAUAUAGAAUGAAAUGAUUAAAUUUAUUGUUUUAUUUUUUAAAUCAUAAAAAUUACUUUAAAAGCACCAAAUUUGAGUUUUUGCUAAAAGUGAUUUUAACACCAAAAUCUCCACUCAUAAUUUCAUGUGAUAAUGUUUACCAAACGCAUUAAUAGUGCUUUUAACAGCUAAAAGUGCUUUUUUUACUAAAAGCACCGCAACCCCAAACGGAUCUGAGAAGUGGAGUUGAGAAGUCUCAGGAAGCAUACUAAUUUGUUGGAGAAGUGAACAAAGCGUGACUUGUGUUUGAGGGAGUAUUUUGAUUUUUGAAGUAAAAAAAAAAAUCAGUUUAAUGAUUUGUGUCGCUCCCCAUUUUUGAAAAAAAAUAAAAUUACGGGUUUAUAAAAUGAAUUUUUGAUUAAUUUUGAGUGAAAAUGAGUUUUUGAUCUUUAAAAAAUAAAUAAAAAAUGGGCCUAAAUGGGACUUAAAAGUGCAACGAUUUUGGCUCCAAAAUAAUAGUCUAAAAAGGGUUUUUUAAGGAAAAUAGAAGUCGCUACUUGGUAUUGAAUUAAGGUGUACCAAGUUAUCUAAAAUGAAUUUUUAAAAAAAAAAAUGUAGAAAAAACCCUUUUUAAACUACUUGAAGUCUACGAAAAUUAAGAGAAAAGAGCUCGGGAGUCACGGUUGAAGAAAGGGAAGGCAAGGAUAAAAUCCAAUGCACCUUUUCAACCUAGCCAAGGCUAGUUGGGUAAUUUAGUAAAAUAUUUUUCUUAUUUUAACCUAAAAAUUUAUCACAUUGGAUGUCACUAUAUGAAUGUAAACCUAGACCUAAUUUAUAUCGGAAGAGUCGAUAUGUCUCUUCGAAUUUUAGUUGGUGCAAAUCGCAUUAAAUUGCGAUGCCCAAAAGUGACUCUUUGAAGAGGUCACGAGUGUGCAAAAUAUGAGACUCAAAGAAAAGAAAAGAAAAUAAUAAUUAUACAUAUAUACAUGACCUAAAGGAAUGCAUCACAACGAGUGCCGGAGGGGGGCUAAAAUUCGUGACUCAAUUUUCCCUUUUAUAGAGGGAAUACGAGUGUACUAAGGCUUAAGAGGCCAUACUCGUCCAUAUCCCAUAUUUAAAGGGUUAAUUCUCGUAAUUUUUUGCCAAGCAAAUGAAUUAACUUAUGUCUAACUUUCCUUAAAUGAAAUGCAAGUCUAAUGUCAUGUUUUGUACAUAGGGAUAGGGGAUAUUUAUUAGGGGAAAUAUCAUGCAAAAGUGAUCAUAAGAAUCCUAAAAAGUGGAAAAAUAUGCAUGAAAUGUAGUGAUUUGUCACACAAGUAUGAUCUAAUGCGUGGACGGUUUCUAAGGGUCUAGCGUUGGACUAACCCAUGUCUAUAAGUUCUCACUAGUGUUGGACUAGUGAGAAAUCGAAAAAAAUGGCCUCAACUAGCAUUGGACUAGUGAGAAAUCGUAAAAAAGGGCCACAACUAGCAUUGGACUAGUGUGGUGACGUUAUGCAUUUAUUAUAAUCCCAUAAGUCAUAUAAAACAUAAUAAAAGUAAAUAAACAUAUAAAUCACAUAUAGCACAUAGCACAUAGCACAUAAGCAUGAUAUCUAGAUGCAAAAAUCCUAAGAAAGCGAGUAAAUACAUAAGCACACAAGCGUGCAAACAAAUAAAAGCGAAUAAAGACCUAACUAUUACAUUUGGGGGCCCUAACUACAAUCUAAAAGGGGAGGGAAUGAAAUGAAAUAAAAUAAUAACCUAACUAUUACAAUUUGGCAUUUAAUCGCCUUUCAAAUAAUCAAAAAUUAAAUUAAAAUAAAUAUACAAAAUUAAAACAAAUAAAGUGAAUAAAUAACUAGAUGAGAUAAAAAAAAACAUUCAAAAGAGCAUGCCAUUACACACAAAAAGUCACAUAGGAGCACCUAGGAUCAACUAAAAUCAAAAUAAAUGAGUAGAGUGUACCUCCCUUGAAUUGGUGAGCUAAUGAAAUGAAAUUUUCCUUAUGUAGCUUCUAAUUACAAAAAAAAUGAUUAAGGUAUCACUUUAAUUAACAAAUAAUCAUAAGAGAUGAAAAUAAACAUGAAAUUGAACAAUUAAAGCAUUUAAAUGAAAGUAAACAACCAAUAUUCAAGAAAUUAAAACAAGUAAGGACCUAAUUGAAACAAUUAUAGAAGUUUGAGGGGUCAAAUUAUUAUUAUUUCAAAUAUUAAGGGUUUAAAUUAAAAAAAAAUAAAAUUAAGGGCUUAAGAUGAAGCCUACCAAAACAAAAUGCUAACAUUCAUAAAAAUAAGUCAAAAUCCUCUCAUCAAACCCCAAAACAAAAAUACUACCCAAAUUAUAAUUAUUUUACUACUCCUUUCGUCCCAUUCAUUUGGUUAUACUUUCCAUUUUGGGAUGUCCCAAAACAAUUGUCAUGCUAGAAAAGUCAAAACAACUUUUACACUCUCUUUCCAAUAUAACCCUUCUUUUUAAUCAUACAUUCAAAUUUAAAAUUUGAAUUUGAGGGGUAAAAUUGGAAAGAGAAGCACAAACAUCACAAUCAAAUCACUAUUCUUAAAAGGUUGGAUUCCCCAAACAUAACCAAAUGAAUGGAACGAAGGGAGUAUAAUUCAAAUAAAAACUAUAAAUCUAUCAAAAAUUAUUAAACCUCAAAUUUCAUCCUAAAAUUCGUAAAUAAUCUGCCCAAAAAUCACAUUAGAGCAUUCCAAAGAAAAUUAGCAUUUUAAAAGGACAAAAUUGAUUAAUAUUUCCAAUUUUUUGGGUCAUAGUAGAAUUAAGUCAAAAUAUGGGGGUCAAAAUGAAAUUUUAGAAACUUUUCAUGCAAAAGCUUCAAAGAAGCUAUUUCUUCUUCUUCGCUCGUUUUUUCCUUCUGCAAUUUUGCAGCCUAUUCAACUGAGGUAUCUUAUGCAAUCUCAAACCAAGCCAGCAAACUCAUUAACCCAACCCAUUAAACUUCAAAACACUUUGAUUAACAAAACACAAAAUGCAGGAGACAAGUCAUUGAAGAUCAAACGAAGAACAAAAAUGGAAAAACAUGCAAUCAACCGAGAACAAAACCAGUUUUCUGGUGAAUCCAAGAUGGGUUUGUCAAAAGCUAACACCUUUCAGCCAAACCAUUGAACUAUCAAGUGUCAAACCGUCCUAAUCCUUUGACAAUUUCAAGUCAUCAAAAGCCACUUUCUCCAAAAACAUUAGGAACCAUGCGAAAAGAAAACAGAAUCCAAGAAACCCAUUUAUGAAAGAGAAAGCUCACACAAAUGGCCCCAAGAUCUCAUGAAAAGUGUUAAAGAAACUGAUAAGAGAAGUUAUUGUUAUCCAUAAAUGAUUGAGACGCCGAAUCUAUGCGAGAAAAACCAAAUGCAAUUCACCAGAAGUUCCGUCGCAGGCUUCCCAGGGUUGAUGAUCUCAUGACUUGGAGCUCUAAUUUGAAAGGGUUAACGGUGUUUGUUGGAGAAAAAUUCAUGAGAAAAGCUGUUUCCCUACACUUGUAUAUAAUAUAAAAGUAAAGAACUAGCUUAAAUGGUUAAAAUCGAAGCAAGAAUAUGGAUCCAAAUAGGGCUGCUGCAUCAACCCGGUACCAAAAUUUUCCAGAAAUUUUUCUGCUCUCGUUUCUCUCUUUCUCCUCUCAGAUUUCUCUCUCUUUUGCUGUUUUUUCUUUCUUCAGCCGCCUCUCCCCUUUCUUGCUCUCCCCGGAACCUCCUUUUUCCCUCCUCGCUCUUUCUCUUCUCCCUUUCUUUUUUCUCCUUUCCCUUCUUUUUCUUCCCAGCCGAAACUCUUUUUUCUUCCUCUUUCUCUUGCCCGAAGCUCCUCCUUUCUUCCUCCCCAGAUUCCCUCCUCUUACUCGAAGCCUCUGGUUUCUCUUCUCUGGGUCUGCUUCUCCCUUUCUUUUUUCUUUUCUUUCUUUGCCCGAAGUUCUCCUCCCAAUCUCUUUCACUUCCUCCCUUUCCUUGCUUCCUCUCUUGAUCCUCAGCCGUCACCUCCUCUCCACCUCUCCCUCUCUCGGUCUUUCUCUCCCUUAGUUUUUUCCUUUUUCCCUCUGCCUUGCCUGCAGCUCCUCUCCCUCUUUUCUUUUUUUUCUUCUUGUUUGUCUGUUCCG